This 63083-nucleotide long non-coding RNA is filed under the name Musa acuminata (dwarf banana). RNAcentral's name for it is "long non-coding RNA (MACU_LNC002112)". The record is from RNAcentral. Lineage: Eukaryota; Viridiplantae; Streptophyta; Magnoliopsida; Zingiberales; Musaceae.
AGAGAGAGAGAGAGAGAGAGAGGUGGAUGAGUAUGAGGUACGUACCUGCUGCAGAAUGGCAAGGGCAGUGGUGCUGCUGCAAUUGCCAUGGCUGUAACUCCCACAAGUUCCGUGUGGAGUCCCAAAGCUCGCAAACUUCACCGAGGAAAUGACACGAUCGGAGUGAGGACAUUCGAGAUGGAGCACUGCGUCCUUUUUCUGUGCAGUGUUCACAGCAUCCACAGGUGGAGGGUGGGACUGAGAGACGUGUGCACACAAGCUUCCCGCCGCCCUCAAAGCGAAGGACACCAGAGUCGGAUCUCCACCCACUUCCUCGAAAAGAACCAGUCUAUUCGUAUUGCCUUGUUGGAUCAGCGAGCGAGGAACAUGGUACCUGUCAAACAAGCACCAAAACGAGUUGACAUGAUAGGAAGAAGAAGGCGGCUCUGCUUUGAGAUGGGGAAAUGCAAGUCUUACAGUGACUGAGAUGGCUGUCCACAGUUCCUGACGCACUUGCUCCCGCUGAACGGUCCUCUGUAGUCGCAUGAUUGGACACAGCCGCUCGGUGGAGAGGUAUACGUCGGCCAGUACCGGCCGAUGCUGUGGCCAUUCACCCAUGCCUCGCCCUUCCCCAUUCCGGUGAAGUCUAUUGCAACAGGGUCAUCGUGCUCAGGGGCAUCAAAGUACGUCUGCAAGAGGAAUUAGAUAGGCAUGUAUUCAUAUCAAUUUUGUGAAUCCACUGUAACAUUUUGUGCACUGAAAAUAUUCUCCAAUCUUUACUGAACAUGAUGAAAUUUACAGAGAGACAAAGAACUCACCAUGUACCAUGUCAGUGGCUGAUUUUUCGGCAAGGAAGAUAGUGACAUCCAUGUUGAAUUUUGUGUGUUGUCAUGCAAUGCCAGCUGUUCACCUUUGAGUCCAAUCUGCAUCAGCACACAGCUUAAGAUGAAGAAGCCAGAUGCCAAUCAUUGCCUUCUUAUCUUUGAGAAGCAUCUACUUUGAAAGCUUUAAGUAGAUAUCAGCCAUAUAUUGAAUUUUUCAUUUCAUAAACAUUAGAAUGAUAAAUAAUAUACAAAUUGCACACAAGAAACAAUUACUUCAAUUUUUACAAGAUUUUGAAAGAUUAUUAUUGUAUCUUAAUCACUCGGUUUACAAUAUUUUAGUUUCAUAACUAUCUGUCUGAAGCAGUAUGUAAUUGCAAAGGACAUGAGAAACCUGAUAAGUCCACUGGGAUGAAGAAAGAUCUCUUGUGGCAUUGUGGUUCUUCAGGAUCACACCAGUGAUUCCAGCACCGCUUAGAUCAAAAAAUUGACCAUAGUUCUGUGGAAGAGAGAGAGAGAGAGAGAGAGAGCAUAUCAAGCAUAUAUUCACAUAAAGCUAAACAAAUUGUAGCAAUAUAACAAUCUAAAGAAACAUUUCCAUAUCUUAGAGGGGAACACAACCUUAAGGCCUACGGUCGCACUUAAAAGAUCAAUUCUGUUCUGUCCUGAUGAAAGUGUGAUAACAUUCUCCAGUUUAAAACUCGCAUCAGCAUUGCUGCCUUGAUUACUUGCUGUAGAAAACAUGGCAUGCCAAAUUAAGCAGAAAACUGGUUAAGGAGGAAAGCCUGAUAGCUACAGGAAUAACAUAUGACCUGAUAAUUUGCCAUUGACAAAAACAUGGAGGACAUGACCGAGUGAGUCCACAUGCAGAGUAGUCUGAGUGCCAUUGAAAAGAAAUGGUUCGUUUCCUAUGACAUCAAUGCUGUAGGAGCAUGAAGAACAGGACAAUCAGUACGUGAUUUACAUCACUGUGUAUGUGAAGUUGCAAUAUAACUCUUACCUUAUUGAAUACCACAAGUAGUCACUGGAAUCAGCAGUAGUAUUUAUCUGCUCAAGCAAUCCAACAUUUUUGAAAGUAGAGUUGAUGGAACCAAUAGGUUCUGUGAAGAAUUUCCAUUCUGAUUCAGAUAUUUCAGAGGAACCAGUGGAUUCAUCUGCAGCCUGAUCGAAAGUUUUGGUGUAUUUCAUCUCCAAAACAGUUGUCUGGGAAUUUAUCUGCCAUUGACAUAGAAUCAUAUAAAAUCCAUGGAUCAGUAGCAGUUUUACAACAACAAGAUGUGGCAGUUGUACAUGGAUAAAUUGAACUAUAUUAAGUUCAUUAUAGGCAUUUUUACUUUUUGAAUGACUGGAAUUUAGAGAUCUUUCCCAUUGAGACUCAUCGUAAGAUAGUUAAGCAUACCUUUGCAGUAUUGAAUGCAACACUUUGGCAGUCAGGAAGGAUGCUCACAGACCAUGCAGGUAACUGGUAUGGUUUGCCAUUGAAAGUAACAGUUGCAUCAGAAUGGUCAUCUAUGUUGGCAAGAAAAGCCACACAUCUCCCUGAUGAUGUCCUAUAAACAUGGGCCUAAAGCAAGCAAAUAUUUUAGCAAUGUGACAGAAGAAAAAUGCAUAAAGCAACAUUAGUGUAGCAUACCAAAACAAGGGUGUUACAAUUAUAAAUCAACAUUGCUACAACUAGUAGGAUUCUAUUUACUUGCUUACAUGAGAAGUGCUAUCAAAGAGGUCCACUUGCAUAAAAAAAUCUCAUGAAUUCAGGUGUUCACAAGUUCUUCAAAUAAGGAACUGUUUGCCUAAUGAUAUUGAUUAGAAGUCCUGUAUCUUUGUAUUUCCAUGAGAUUGUCUUUUAUGCAUGAGCACAACGGCACAAGGCUACAAUAAUUCAGAACUUCUAUCUAUGCUCCCUCAUUCUCCAUAUCUUAUACAGUGCCAAUCUAAAAUUGAUAAUUCAAAACACAAAAUCUCUCCAUACGCAAGCCCUCUUGCAUAUAAAAAGAAAAAAGAGCAAAAAUUAAAAAGAAAGCUAUCUUACUAGAAGUACUCAACAGGAGAAAAAGGGGUCUAAUGUAGUAAUAAUAAGAACAGUAAAUGGUAUAUGCAUGAGGAGCAUUCAAGGUUGUGUACCUCUAAAUUUUUGCCAAGAGAAGUGUAUGUUGGAUCGGUUGCCACCAAUGCUUCUUCACACUGCUUUAUGACUUUGUGCAGAUCUCUCAGGUGGCCCCAUUUUGGCUGCCGAAGAAGUCCUGAUGAAGUGCAACAAGAACGAUAUAUAAAAAAUUGCAAGAGAAGAGAAAGUUGUUUCCCCUCCAAUUUGUAUGUAAAUCAAAUACAGAGAGAAAAGUUUCAGAUUGGAGGAUGCAACAUUUGGUGAUUCAAAAUGCUUAUAAUUAGUGCUACCACCAAUACAUCACUAAAAAUAUACUAUAUAAUCCAAAAAUAACAGAUUAUAUUCUUACCAUAUUCAUCAAUGGGAGAAUCAUAAUCAUAGCUUGUAGCAAUAAAUGGUCCACCAGAAGUGCGGCCAAAAUUGGUUCCACCAUGGUACUGGAAAUGAUAAAGAAAAGACAUGUUACUACGUUAUUUACUGAUGAAAACUUCGACAAGAUGAAAUAAACAACACUAUCUACAUACCAUGUAAUAGUUUUGGAAGGUACCACCACGUUGGAAGAACCUGGCUACAGCAAAUGCAAGGUCUUCAACAGGUCUGUAAGGCACUCCACCACCAAAAGAAAGGAACCUGGCAGGAAAGGAGACAGAAAUGUUUGGUUAGGAAAAGCUUUUGGUCUUGUAAGCAUUGCAUCGAACACCAGAAGUACCAGACACAACGAAACAUAUGGCUAUCGAGAGCUACACUGCCUUACCAUCCACUCCAAUUCUCUGUCCACAUCUUCGGUUUCUUGUCAGAGUUGGGCUUAAAAUUGUCACAGUAAAAUCCAUUGCAAGUGUUGAUCUGCAAAAGAGAACAUGUCUCGGCAAUCAAAUCGGUGCGCAACUCCAUUAGCAGAGCAGCAUUUUUGCUCAUCAAACAGAACAUCAAGAAAUGGAUAGAAUUUGAAUCAUCCAACUCACAAUGGGGUCAGGGGCAUUAUCUUGUUGGCACAUCACCCAUGGCACGCUCACAUUCAAGGAAGUAGCCAUGGAUGCAGCCCAAUCAAUAUAAGACUUGGCCGUCGGACCAUAAUAUUGCUCAACAUUGCCAUACUCAUUCUCAAUCUACCAUGGGCAAUAGAGUGGAUCAGCUGCAGUGAUCAAUAUCGAUCUUGUCGCAGAAUUUAAAUCAACCUAUAAAGCAGGAGAUAAGCACCUGAGACAGAAUGAUGGGUCCACCUUGGGAUGCAAACAGCAUUUCCUGCUUCAUCAUGUCCACAAUCUUUGUCGUGAACUUUUGCAUCUCGUUCUGGAAGAAAAGAGAUGUCAGAGAAACACUCCAAAAGAACAACUAAUGGGAACUCUCAACGAUCAGACGGGCAGUAGAAAUCAAACUAGAAGACACUUUAACCUUGAAGGGAUCAUUGUCAAUCCUGAACUUGAUAUUUGGGAUGAAGUGCAACCACACAGGAAACCCUCUGCAUCAUAUGAAAUCUCAGAACAUUGAACAAAGACAGACUAAUUAUGUGGAGGAAUGAACCCUUUACGCACCCGUAGUUCCACUCCGCGCAGACAUAAGGCCCGAUCCUGAGAUGAACAUAGAGGCCGGCGGCCGCCACCGUCUUAAUGAACUUCACCAAGUCCUUCCGCCCUCCAAAAUCGUACUGUUACCAAACAGACGUCUAUGUUAGAGAGAGAGAGAGAUGAGAUAUGUGAAAUAUCAGUGGGAAUGACCUGGCCCUGCACGGGUUCGUGGAGGUUCCAGAAGACGUAGGUCUCGAUGACGUCGAGGCCGCCAUCCUUAGACUUCUGGAUGAGGUCCGGCCACAUCUGCAGCACCGCAAGCUCUUCCGAUCAGCUAAAGCAUUAAUAGCGGAGAAGCUAAUACAUAGAGAGAGAGAGAGAGAGAGAGAGAGAGAGAGAGAGAGACCUCAGGGGUGCUGCGGGGGUAGUGGAUGGAACCGGAGAUGAGGACCCUCCGCUUACCGUCGAUCACCACCGCCCGGUGAUCGUACGACACAGUGGCCGCGGAACAUAGCUCGGAGCAGCAGCUGAGCAGCAAAAGAAGGAGGAGCAGAAGCGACGUAGACACGGGAGAAGGGAGCGUCGGGUGGGCUGCCAUGAGCAACUGUGUUGGCGUAAGAAGAAUGCGCGCAGGGGAGCGGUCGUGUUCGGUGUGAUCAUGCACGGGCAUGCAUCCAAGCGGCUCGCAAGAGGAAGCGACGUCUUCUUCUAAACACGAUGUAGCUUCCUAUUAAUAACUCUCCUCUUCCGUUGAUUACGCUUCUUUCUCAUCUUUAUUGCUGUUACUACUGUUAUUUCAUGCUUAUCUCUUAUUAUCUGUCCUUAACAGAUUUUAUUUCUUACGGAUAAGACAUUUAUCAACAGGUUGACUUCUUUUUUAUUUUUUCGAAAAAAAUAUUUUUUUUAUUGUGUUUAUUUUUAUUAUCUUUAUAUUAUAAAAAAAUUAAAGUAUUAAUUAACGAGGAUAUUUCAUUAAAAAAAUGACAUUGGAAUCAAAAGAAUCAUUUUGAUCGAAGACAAAUUGCAUUUUUUUUUCUUUUAUCAUGUGACAGAAAAUAUAAUUCAAAAAAUAUUUCCUCGAAAGACCUAUAAAAAUUUUAUUAGAAAUAGUAAAAAGAUAUUUAAAUUUAUCAAAAAAAAUAUCAUUAAUGUCUUGAUCAACCCAACGUUCCUCGAGAUGCCACCUACAUGAAGAUCGAGAUCAAAAAACUAAUUUGUAAUCGACACUCUAUUUUUUAUCAUUUGUCCCUUCUCCUACUGCAUUUGAAAGUGUGUUUCGAAGUGUGUCAUUUACGUGAAGGCAAGAAGUUCUUAGUUGUAAUAAAGCUAAUUCAACAACACGGUAAUCUGGCAAGUUCAGCUUGAGAUCAUAAAUAAACCGGAAUUAACAGUACAAGACAAAUGGCUUGAUUCAGAAAUGGCAUUCAUGGAGUUGAGAUAAAUGUCUUCUUGUUAACAGAAAUAUAAGCAGCAGUAUCCAAAACAUGGAUGAGUUUAUCUUCCAUAUUGGAAUGGUAAACAGAUGCUUGUCUGAUAUGCCAUAUCUUCUCAAAGAACACAAGGAAAAAGAGCAUUUAUUCGCAAGUAACUUGAACGUCAGGCGACAGCAAUUUAUUGAUGAAAGGUUCAAGCAACAGAUUUUUGAAGCUUAGAAACCAAUCAAUCCUGAAAAGACAUCAGACUCAAAUGUACCUUUUGGGUUAUAAAAAUGCUUACAAAUGAUGGACAUGUAUAUGGAAAAAACAUCAGAUCUUACCACCAAAACACUGCUACUUUGCUCACAUCAAAAUGCAAGUGCAAUGCCAUGAAGGAUUGCUGUCUGCAGUGCAGAAUCCGAAAUGGUAGAUUGUGUAAAAGAGAUGAUGAUCAUGUUCUAAUGCAUUCUGACCGAACCGAACUAUAAUUAACUGCACGUAGUUUCCUUGACGAAGCAGACCAAUGAAACAAAUCUGAAAAUAUGAACUAGUAAUCGAAUUUUUGAAGUCCUUGAUUCUCUCUUCUCUUCUCACAUCAACCUCAGAAGUUUGGACCUGCAGCAAGGAUCUCCUCAGCCAGUUUGGCAUCUUCACCAAUCUUGUAGUUAGCAAACACCUCAAAGUUCUUCCUGAACAGACCAGCCAGCUUUAGCAAAGUCUCCUCAUAGGCUGCCUUCUCUGGCCACUGUAAAGCACACAAAUCACCCAUGUCAGGCAACAACAUCUCCGCGAUCGACAUCGAUCAUUUGUUCUACAAACAACUGACUUACAGUGUUCUCCGGGUCCAAAAUCUCCGACGGCACGCCUUCAACUUCAGUAGGUAUCUCCAGUCCAAACACUUGUGUCUUCUUGUAAUCUGCAUUCAGAAGGCUGCCGGAGUGUAUGGCGUCGAUAAUUUUCCGAGUGUAUGCCAGCUUAAUGCGGCUGCCGAUACCGUAUCUGAAUAAAAGCGAUAAGGUAGCCAGAGUCGAUCAGAUCAAGUUUUUCCAUGAACUAUAGCCUGUAUCACCGAAAUGUGGUGUGUAAUCUCUUACCUUCCGCCAGACCAACCAGUGUUCACAAGCCAUGCUGUGGCUCCAUACUUCUGCAUUUUCUCAACCAGCAUGGCUGCAUACCGAGUCGGAUGGAGCAUUAUAAAUGCUGCCCCAAAGCAUGCUGAGAAUGUGGCUUGAGGUUCCUUGAUGCCCUCCUCUGUUCCAGCCACCUGUUUUGUGCCCAUGGCAACCACCAUGGAUACCAUUACCAACACUAGACAAGAUUCCAAGAGAAGUUUAGAGAGUACGCACCAGAGCAGUGUAGCCACUGAUGAAAUGGUACAUGGUCUGAGGCAGAGUGAGCUUGCUGACGGGUGGGAGAACGCCGAAAGCAUCACAUGCCAAGAGGAUGACGUUCUUCGGGUGCGGACCAACACAUGGUAACUUCGCAUUAGGUAUGUACUCGAUUGGAUAAGCAGCUCGGGUGUUCUCUGCAACAGCACCAGUAAUUCCAUCAAACAGUUUCCGGGCAUGUAAGGAACCUAUCCAAAUUCAUGCAUGCAGGAAGUCCGCUUUAAGAACAGUACCUGUGACGGAUUUGUCUGAAUAAUCUACUUCCCGUGUGUGCUCAUCGAAUACCACAUUUUCCAAUACUGCAAAUGCAAAACGAUUGCAAGAAUGAUACGCCAUCCAAAUCAAAAUGUAGGGCUAGAUUCGGAUGUUCACCUGUUCCAAACUUAAUGGCAUUCCAGAUAUCAGGUUCCUUCUCCAUUGAUAGGUCGAUGCAUUUUGCAUAGCAACCACCUUCGAUAUUUGAAAUGCCAUUCUCACUCCAACAGUGCUCAUCGUCACCAAUGAGCAGCCUGUUACGAUCCGUGGAUAGAGUGGUCUUCCCGGUGCCUAAAAAACAAUGAACAGACCAUGGAAAUGAGAAUUCAGGGAGUAGUGACGGGCAGGUGGCGGCACCACGUUUGACGAGCCCGAUCUUACCCGAGAGUCCAAAGAAGAGGGCAACAUCACCGUCUUUGCCCAUAUUGCAGCCGGAAUGCAGGGAGAGGAUCUGUCUCUUAGGCAUGAGAUAGUGCAUCAGACUGAACAAACCCUUCUUCAUCUCCCCGGCAUACUGUGUGCCGAGGAUAACCAUUUCCUUCCUGGCAAGGUUAAUGUCAAUGCUGGUCGAGGAGGUCAUGUAGUGCGUGUACCGAUUACACGGAAACUGUCCGGCAUUGUAAAUUGUGAAGUCCGGAGUUCCAAAGGUCUCGACUUCCUCGGGCGUCGGUCGGAUGCACCUGCCAUCCAUUCAUCCAUCCAGUCAUGGCACGUAGAAUUGGCUAUGCUACACAAAAAUUUCAUGCUUUCAAUGGUCUUCCGAAGCUACAGGAGCUGCACCUAUUUGUCAUCAUCCACUCCGACCGAUACUAAUAGAUCAAAAACCAUACAAGGAUGACUUCGAGCAUUGCAGACGACAACUGCAGACUAAUAUUCUUACUGUCACUUCUACUUACAUGUUGUGCAUGAACAAGGAAUGGUAGGCUCUUGCGGAGACGAUUCGAACUUUGAUCUGAUGCUCAGGAUCCCAGUUGAGAAAUUGAUCGUUCACAAAAACCUGUAUGAGGUAAAUGACAAGCUAAAUCCCCAAGGCAAAUUGCAAAUUGGAUGAAAGAAAUCGGCAUAGUAGUGGCGUUAAAUUGUCUCGAGAGUGACUCUUACCUUGUCCAGAGAGUUCAGGUAAUCAACUGCCCUCUCCCUGUUCACCAUGAAAGUCUGCUCAUCCAUCUCAAUGUUAGGUGAGCCCCUGCGUACGAUGAACGAUUCAAGGAGGAGGAUUCGCCAAACACAUAGUACGGCACACAAAUCUUACAACACAGGAUGUGUUGGGAGACUUACUUUCCCCACCACAACUCCUCAGCGGUUGUCUCAUCAUUGACGAUGCGUUUGUCCCUCGGAGAACGACCUGUUUUGGCACCCGAUAAGGUGGCCAAAGCCCCUGUCGAGGUUAUGAACGAUCCCUUCUCGUAUCUUAUGGCCUGCUCGUACAGCUCUGCAUCAUUGUAAUGGCCACUGCUAGUGUUAUUGUGCAUGCCAUGAGGAAAGAGAACUGUGGUCUUAAUGGUGUAGCGACGGCAACGAUGUGUGGUAAUUGAAGCUAUCACGAGGCGGCGUACCGGCAGGGGAGAGAUUGUGGAGGACGUGGGUGAACUUGAGAGAGCUGUCACUGACGCUGAUGCUUGGGGUGAAGUAGUGGUGGUGCACGGCGCCGCCCUUGGGCGCUUCCGCCUUCCUCGCCGGGUCACCCUUCACCACCUUCGGCCCCGUCUCCCGCGUCAGCGACGCCAACGACGCGCUGCCAUCAACAUCACAUCAAAUCGAGUUAGCACAGCGGCGAUCGCAAGGAGCGACACUACCGAACCAAGCCAUGGGCCACCGGAAUCCAGCAUCGUAUCUUUUGUCAGGAACACAAAUCUGACGGCGAAGAUUCUUUUCAUUUUUUGGCUAAUUGGACGGCGACGUUGGUAGAAGGAACGGGGAGGAGAGAUGGUGACCUGAUGGACUGGAGCCGGAGCUUGUGGCGCUCAUCCUCGGACACGGUGGCGAAGGCGGCGUUGCCUUGCAGCAGGCCGUCAUUCAUGGGGGUGCCGGGCAACGACCGCUUCUUCUGCAAGGAGUGGAGCUCGUCGAUGGUUUGCGCCUUAACGGGCAGCGCGCUGUCGUCGUGGCAGAUGCCAUCCUCCGCCUUCGUCUCGAUCCUCGCCAGCCCCUUCCCGCCGCCAUUAGCGUUCCCGAGUUCGCCUUUCUCCGCCAUUUCCCCCUCGUUUCUACCGAAAUCCAACUCUCAAUAUAUCAGCAAAACAGUGUAUGAUCUCAUCAGAGACAGCUUUAUAUACAUAAAUAAGCAAACGUUAUCGUCUCUAUAUCUUCUGGAACAUCGGCGCAUGAACUCAUCGAGUCAUCUCAUUCUCACCACCAAACGUUUCACUCGCAAACGAAGAAAAAGAAACAAAUACCUCAAGGCGAGCGAGCAACAGAAUAGAGAUGGUAACGAUGAAGAAGAAGAAGAAGAGGCACUAAGAGGAGAAGGAAACGGAAGGCACGACCAUGCAGUUCUCGUACACGAGCCUCACGAGAAGCUGUAAAGAAGAGAGGAACGAGUAAGAAGGCGAGCUACAGGGGGAGCCUUAUAAAGGCGCGCAUUGGGUCAUACGAACUUUCAUUCACCUUAUAAGAAUUCGAAGCAUGUGACGUGCAUCAGUACAAAUGGAAUAUUGUUCGUCAAGCCUUUACAAAGGGACCGUUCGACCCAUUCAAUGGCCACCGCUUCACCCGCGGCUGCGCGCAACCCUUCCGAUCCAUCCAUCAUACCUGUCCAUAUGUACGUAUCAGAUGGCACAGCACUCGAUUCGGUGGACAGUUCUCCGACGCAAAUCCAACCUCGGUGUAGGGGACGCUGCAUAGCGAAGGUGUGAGAGUCCAUCGGACCGUGGUGGUCGUGUCCACAUCAAUCAAUCUGUGGCUUCCACAUCGUCGACUGAGGUGAUGGAACGAGAACUGGAUACAAGCAUUUGGUAUUUCCGUACUUGAAUAUUAUUACGCUCUUUUGAGAGUUGAAUUUGAAAUCUUAUUCGUCAUGAGAUUUUGUAUGCUACCUAAGCAUUUUAUCAGAUUAGUACAAAAUAGUGAGAUUCUGUAUGCUAACUUAACUCCUAAGUAUUUUAUCAGAUUAGUACAAAAAAAUAUUCAUUGAACAUGGAAUCAAAAUGAAAAUCUUUAUAUAAUCCUAAUUAUAUACCUACUAAAAUUCUUUAAAGAGAUAUAACUGGGAUUGGGUUCAAGUAUUUGUAACAUCCACAUUGGAUUUGGAUUGAUAGGGAGAAUUAGGUAGGAAAUUUAUAGUGUCUUGGAGGAAGAAAUUAAGGAGAAGUACAUUGUCAUGCGAUGCCACAAUGGAGCUAAAACAUCAAGAUUUCGAUUCAUGCCUGAGAUGAAAUCUAAUAUCUCCAUACCAAGUGAUGUGUACACUUGAAUGUUUACAUGGAUGAAAACAACAGGAGCUUAAAGUGCGAAAUGAACAAAAGAAGAAGAAUGAAAAAGAAAACCUUUUAUUAUUUUUAAUCUAGAUUUUGAACCAAAGAGCUACCUUCCCUGCACAGAAUUGGCAAUCUGAGAUGACCUCUGUUAGCUCAAACAGAUGUUUCUUGUCAUAGAAACAUUAUGCUAGUGAAAUGCACUUGAUCAAAUUCAGAUGAAAAUUAGAGGGAAGAUAAAGGAUUGAUGAAUAUUUGACCGAGGAUCAAAUACUAUAAACAUGAUAAUGGCAAUCAUUUACCAUAACUGCACCUGCUAUGGAAUACAAAAUUGUCAAGUUUCAACUCCAGCAUUCCACAUUGGAGCACAUAUUUACACUAUAUUUUGAAUCUUUGAUAUCAUUGUUGAGGUACUUGAACAAGGUAUUUGAAAUUCUAUGACACAAAACAUUCUGGGAGCCAACAUUUUUGUCAUACUAUUUUCUUGUUAAAUGGUAAGACUAAGAACUGAUCAGCCGACAACAGAUUAACAGUGGAGAAUUUUUCUCUCUUUUUUUUUUUAUCAAACACAACUAACAAUGAAAAUGGCUGCUUACAGAGGGCAGACAUGAAAUCUGCACCAGAAUCCACUAAAAUGAUAGCUUUUCUAUGAUUAAUCUGUACAUAUAACGGUAUAUAUACCUUCCACAACAAGCAGUUACCAAUCACAGAACUGCCAAUCCGUCCUUGAGCGGCUGCCAUGAAUGAAAGUUUAUUUGUGUUAUAGCCCGCACCCACCACUGUCCUAUUGGAAGAAGCAGUACAGAAAAAUAAAUUGAGGUGCCUGCCAUAAACAAAGAGUAUGAUAUAAUUAACUAACAAAACUAAGCCAUUUUGUUCAGACAUCAAGAAAUAGUAUUGUGCUUAUAAUUUUGGUGGUCGCGUCUGAUAGGUCAAAGUAAUUUCAAGCAAAAUGUUGUGCAAAGUUCAACUAGCAUAACAAUAAAGUGUGUGUCAAAAUAGUUCAUGAAGGAUUUAGGAAUGCAACCUCAACAAAAAUUUAAAGCUGUAAAAAAAAAAAAGAAAUAUUCAUAUCUUAUUUCAUCUUUGAAGGUGUUGUGCUAUUUCUACCGAAAGCUGAUACAUGACAAGAUAAAUGAAUAUGAAUUUAAAGAACCGUCAGGAAUUAACAAUUUAAAACGAUUGACAUAAGAUCAAGAUUAUACCUGAAUCAUAUACCUUCAUCAUAGUCCAUUAUAAAGCCUAAGUACCUUUGGCAGCAGGGUAUCUAUAGCCUAGGUAGUCACCUGGCCUCCUAGAUGAGCAACUUAGACCUUUAUAUUGUCAAUCUUUUCUCAAAAUUCUAAAUUUUCCAAUAAAUUGAGAUUUUAAUGUAUUUAGAGGAUAAAAAUUACUGAACAAAACCACAACCUUCUCUAACUUAUGUUUCUUCAACUAUGACAAGAUGUUGCUUGCUUUCAGUAAAACAGAUCUCCCUCGUUCAAGUCUAUGUACUUGAUCACUUGUCACUAUGGGUUCUUGUUAAUUGCUCGACCACCUAUAGGUGUGGGCAAUGCCAAAGGCAUCUUGGCAGCAUAGGCCAUGCUGUAGAUUGCAUAAAAGUGCAUUCUGCUGGUGCCAAGAACAUGGCGGUGUAACAGGAAGUAAAAUUUCAACCUACAUACUAUUAUUGCAAUGGACAAGCAAAUUUAUAUGAUAUACAUGUCUAUAGGCAAUCAUAGACAAGAAUCACUAGAUAUAUCGACAUACCAAUAUAUAUAUAUUAUGUAUAUAUGUAUAUAUAUAUAUAUAUAUAUAUAUAUAUAUAUAUAUAUAUAUAUAUUAUGUAUGUAUAUAUAUGUAUAUGUAUAUAAAUAUAUAUAGGUAUACAUACAUACAUACAUACAUAUACAUAUAUACAUACAUAUAUACAUACAUAUACAUAUAUACAUAUAUAUAUAUAUAUACAUAUAUAUAUAUAUAUAUACAUACAUAUAUAUAUAUACAAACACGUAAACAAAAGGGUUUUUCAAAUGGCUAAACCUAUCUUUCUAUGCAUACAGAUCUCUUUUAAAAAGAUAUCCACGCCAUUCCAUGCACAAAUGCACAGGACCAAUAACAACAUAAAAGUCAGAAUAAACCAUGUUGAGGUACCUUGUGAAGGUUGCAGAUUCUAUGUCAAACGAACAAUAGCAUCAAGGUUCCUAGAUAACUGCCACCCUUCAGGAUAAGCAAAAUUUCUAGCUUCUUCAUGGAGAUGCCAGUUCAUGAUCCUUGAACAACCAUUUGGUAAGCCUUCCAUUUGACUUUCAUCCUCUACUAUCUGCUCUACAAAUGCACUCUCCUGCAAAAAAUGACAAUUUACUGUUCAAAAUUUCAAAAUUAUAAUCAAAAGUAAGAUUUGUCAUUAAAAACAUACAAAAGAAUUUUUUCAUGCAAGUAUGCCAUCAGUAUUUUUUAUUUCUAAAGGAUGGAAAAAAGAUCAAGAUCUAAAACAACGCAAACUAGGGGACCAUAUAGCUCACUAGAUCCACCUGAUGGUACUUGAGAAAUGAUAGAGAAAUGGAACUGUGUUGUUAAGAUGUACAUCUAAACUCAAAUCCUACAAAGUGCUGUUCAAUUGUUAAAACUUGGAAAAUGUUUAAGCUCAAUUGUAAACCCUUCAUAAAGAAACAGGGACUUUGUGUUGCUAGGUCAAAUAUUGCAAGAAAUGAAUUUUGAUGUUAAAUAUGCAAAUAGUUAAUACAGAGAAGCAAAAUAUAUAUAUAUAUAUAUAUAUAUAUAUAUAUAUAUAUAUAUAUAUAUAUAUAUAUUUAUUUAUUUAUUUAUUUAUAGGGAAAAGAUCACCUUAUCCGCCUUUGUGUAGGCCCAUUUUCUCCAAGCCCAAUUGUGUUACAAUUUGUAUCACUGACCCCACUUAAAAGAUACUUCACCAACAAACUAGUCUUUCCUUACCCAUAUGCCAAGUGACGACUAUAUGUUACAUUGUGAUAAUGAAAGGAGUCGAUGUCACUAAUAUGGUGCAAUGAUGGGCAUCCAAAUAGCAUGACAAUGAUGUUGGUGCACAAGUGGCACUUAUGUAGCAUCCAUUGGGCUUAAAAGCUAUUUUCUUAUGUUGACAUGGUUGAAGAAGAUACAACAAGAAGAUGUCAACCUUGUUUAUUUGCUUGUGAGGUGAUAAAAUAUUUAAGGUCAAACUAUCAAAAGAACUUCCUCCUCUAUACUAUUAUCAAACAAAUAACAAAAAUAGACAAGACAUUCUGGUGCACCCAGACUCAUGCAGUGAAGGGAUGAGAUGGUGCAAAUGAGUCUAGGUCCAUACAGAUAAUUCAGUGGACUACUGGAAAAUUGCUUAUCUAUAGUUUCAUUUAUAAAAUUGAACUAUCAUUCAUUCUUCUGUCAUUUCUGCUAUAGUUUGUAGUUUGGAUCACCAAGAUUAUACUAGAAGUCAAAACUGUGUACCUGAAAAUCCUCCUCCACGGUGUCUAGUUGCCGAAUGGCAUCUGAGUUUGAACGAUGCCAUCUCUCGUGAUCCCAAAGCAUUGUGCUGUUGAAUGCAAAUCCAGACAUAUCAACAUGAAAUCUGCUAUGUCUCCUGCUCUUCUCAUUAGUAUGCCAGCCAAUUAUUUGACUUCCAUUGCAUACUGGCCCUUCUAUUAUUACAUUAUUUUUGCUUUGAGCAAGCAUAGCAACAGGCCAAACACCAAAUCUCCUAAAAAAUACAAAUAGAUCAGUUGUGUAAUAAUAACUUGUUAACUUACUUGUUGAGGAAUGACAAAUUUCUAAAUGUAUCAUUUAAAAAAAUUUAGUCAGCUUUAUGAGAUAAAAUAGGCAAAUAUACAAUCCAUUUCCAAAUAUAAAAGUCCUACCAAAAUUGAUUUUUUUAUCGGUGUUCAGGUGGAGAACUUGCAUAAUUGCAUAUGAGUUUGCUCUUGAGCCUAAGAAAAAAUAUAUAUAAUUGAUUUGAACACCAAUAUAAUGAAACCGAUUGCCUCAAGGAUCUAGAGAGACCUUGAGUAAAUGUAGGUAGGUUCUGCUGAACCACUAAUGUUUCUGGUAAGCACUAGUUCAUCCCCCUUUUAGUGGAUGGACAAUCUAAUGUAUUCAUGAUUACUCAACUUAAUUCGCUAAUCAUUGUGUAAUGUCAUUAAUUCACAAAAUAUAUAAAGAAUAUCCUCCAUUCAAGAGGGAAUUCUUUCUUGAUAAACAUAUGCUACUAAUAGUUUUCGUUUUUACUGUUUCAGCCCAACAGCUACACAUGACAAGGACAUAAAGUUAUGGCAAUGGUAAAGCAAUAACCUUAAGGAAUUAAUGUCAGGCAGUUCGAUUCUGUAUUAGCACUAUAGACAAGGUAGCAAGACUCCAAGAAUACUAUCAUUCAGUACCUGAUGUCCCUCAGGUGCUGGAACAGCUCGAGCGAGUAGAUGUUGCUCUCGACCGCAAAGUACACGAUACCAUCCAGACGAUGCCGCUCGAUGUGCUCCAGCGCAGCGUUCCGCUGGUGGACGCCCCUGUCCCUGCUGUAGGUCGAGUUUUUCUUGCAGGCAGCGAGAUGUCUGUACAUGACACCACUGCGCCUGAGGAUCUCCGCCGUCUCCACGGAGGUUGCAUUCAUUUCCACGACGAUCCAGAGCAGGGGCGGCGACACCAGCCGCAGCGUCUGGCCCAUCCGGAUCAGGUAGUAUCUCUGAAAAGCUCUGUUGUACGUGGGCGUCACCACGAUCAGCAGCUUCCUCUCCCGCGAGCGAUCCUCCGGGAUGUCGUUCGGCGGCGGCACGUCGCCGUCGUUAUCGGAACGUAAGACCUCGAUCUCCCUGCCGCCGGAGCGGAUGUUGACGGCUCCGAGAUCCCGGCGUGGAAUGUUAUCGUUACCGGCGGUUGCCACGGCGGCGGCGGUGGUUAAGAUUGAGGAAGAGGAAGCGAAGGAGAGGUGGUGCGGCCGGAAGCCAAAGUCGUCGAGCUGCGCCAAGGGAUAAAGGCCGAUAAAGAAGCCGAAGGCGAAGAAGAGGAGCAACCGAAGGAGUUGUCUCCUCCUCCUCUUCCUCCUCCAUGAACUAUGGUGAUGUUGCAGCUGGCCGCGCGAGAAGAAAGGGACGGAAGAAGACGACGACAGAGCAGAAGAGGAAAGGGAUUGGUGCUGGGUAGUGUUAUGGCAACAAAGGGAAUGAUUGCGGAAGGACCGAUCGAUGAUGUUGGCCGCCAAUAGCGUUCGACGGAUCGACGCCAUGUCUCGGAAGCAUCAAGAAAGCAAGCAAUCGAUCGAUUAACCAACGGCGAUGAGAUGCCAAGGGGAUGGCCAAGGAAGAACGGGCGGAGGAGGAGGAGGGUUUGGGCGGCCACGAGAGUGGCUGGGUUUCUCCUCGAACUGCGUUCUUAUCGUCGUCGUCGAUCGUUAAAUUUGAUUUGAUUUGAUUUGAGUCCUCACUCACGGAAAUUAACCCACGUCUUGUACCAACCGUCGGACCCAAACGCUUCUCUCUCACGACACUGGCCCCGCACAAGCUCAUGUCAAUCUCACCCGGGUACGACAAGUUAGUAUGAGAAAAAAAAAACUCCGAUUCCGCCGACUCACAAAUCUACCUCACUUGUGAUUGGAUAGCAGUGAUCUCAAGUUAUGCCAUCUCAUCGUCGAGGCGUCGGCAGUAGGUUCCAAGGAGAGGGAAGUCGUUGGCGAAGUCGCGUUCCCUCGCCCAGCUAACUUCCCGGCCGCCUUCUCUUUGGUUGGACUCGGACGACUUCAAAGCGUCGGUUUCGUAUCGAAGCCUUCCGCUUGGGUACAACCACCGGACGAGCCACAUAUGUCAUGUCUGGUCUUUGUUUUCCAUGAUCAACGGAGUUGGUAGUAGAGUUGUUCUUGUUUUCCUUUUAGCUAUCAACAUUUUUUGAAUAUAUGUAUUAUAAUUUAGUUGAUUUUUUUUUCUAAGAUGUUAACUAUCUUUCUCAUAACUAUGGGGAUGAUACGAUGUGAAGAACUAUCGACACCUCGUAAUUGAUCGAUACCUUAUCAUCGUAUGAACGACGUUUCAAUGUUAUUCAAAGACACGACGAUUAUAACUAUACAAAGUCGAUUACAUACGAAGUUGAUCUAAUCAAACAUAAUCUUUUAGUCACGACCUUAAAUGAUACGUUCAAGACUCGUAGAACUUAGUUUUGGCGGAACGUGCAAGAAAUUCAAUGCAGCCAAUCUGAUGAGAGAAUUUUCUUGGAAUUUGUGAUUAGUUAUGAGUAAAUGUUCACAUCAUUAAGGUACAAUCUGGAUCAAUCAUUGCGAAUGCAAUAAAAUAGACUCAUCUUGAUCGGCUGUUUCCACCCAAACCAUGGUGUUCUGGUCCAAUUAAAUAUGACCAGAUAGCUAUUUAGGCUUCACUUGAUGAGUUAAGAAAUCUUUAGGUAGGAUUAGGUUUGUGUCAAUCUUGAUGAGUUAAGGAGCUAAUGAGCUAACGUAGGAAGGCAUUUAGAGAACACCAUUGUCAAACUAUUUGGGCAGGUUUGACUACAAAGUAUGUGUUGGAGCAGAAUUGGGGUCUUAUUGUUGACUGGAAUUCGAGUCUAAGAGAGAAUUAAGAUCAAAUUUUAGGCAUUUGUCGGACUCGAGUGUGAAUUGGACUCGUAUUUUCUUUGCUUGUAAUAUAUAGAUGUUGAAAUGUGGAAGUGACAUGUUAGGCCAACGUAGACUUACCACGUAACAGGCUUGAUAGGGAAAUAUGUUGAUGAUUGACUUAGAAUACUUAAUCAGUUGGAUUUGGUUUCGGUCUGAUUGUGUUAGGAACCUACAAAUUCAUUUAAAGUGUUUUGUGGUGUUCGAUGUGAUACCAACCUAUAUUAAAAUUAAUGUUGAGCAAAGUUGAUCUUUCUAAUGGGUAAGGUGGGUUCCUAAUGAUAAGAAGGAUCUAGAGAUGUCGAUUGUGUCUACAAGUAUCAGGAUAUGUAUCUAAUGGGGUGGGAAUAAGGGAAAUAAAUGGAUAUAUGAUAGAAGAUGAAGCUUGUAUGAAUAUGGGAUGAGGACGGAUAGAGCGCUCUUCACCUCGUCCCUGUACUAAGACAUUAGACCUGAACACCUAGCCAACCUAAUCAAAAUUAGAUUGGCUUGAGCCUAAGUUGAGUUGAUCGUAAGAUAAUUACAAGUUAUUUAAUUCGAUUGAACUAAAUUAAAUAAUAUCCAUAUUCAGUAAUAUCCUACUCCCUCACAACCUACAUAUCGGGGAAUUGAUUAAAUAUUUAACCAUUGUUAUUAUUUAUAAAUUUUGAUAGUAUUUUUUUUUCUAAAAUUGAAUAGAUUGAUUAGGAGAGUAUGGAGAACUCACAAGUUUUCCUCUUUUGGUUUGUAUAUAUAUGAGGAAUAAGGUAAGGAUAAGAGAUGACAUGGAGACGGAAAUAGAGGAAGUACUCUAUAUCUUGUUGACAUCCGUGGGAGGAUCAGACUUUAAUAGUUACUAGGAAAAAUAUUUCGUAUAGUAGAUAUAUUAUCUAAAUAGUUUUUUAUUUGACAAACGCUAAUGUGAUUGGAUCGACGAUUUAAGACCUUUUUCUUAGUGAAUAUUAUCAAUACUAUAUUGAGUGGAAUCACAGCCAAAAAGAAUUAUCAACUAACUCAUUGGAUUCCUUAAGAUUCAUCCCUUUCAUAUCAUUUUUUUUAUAGUUUAGCUUCAUUAAGGAGCAAAAAGUCCCUUUUUGGUAUAAGAACAAUAUGAAAUAUGAGUGAUCGUUAUUAUCAUUAAAGUGCAACGAUCCGAUGAAACAAGGUAGGGGUGCUACUUAGCAGCCUUAGGAUCCUCCUGUAUGAAAUGAGAAAGUAAGAUAGGAAAUUUACCUUUAAAGAUGUCCUCUUUAGAGAAGAAUGCUUGAUCCAAGUUGUUGGAUAAAUUAUGUAUUUGUUAUUUUAUUUUAUUAGAGUUGGAUUCUGAUCAUCUCAUAUAUCGAGCCCACCUACGUCCAUUUGUUAAAAUGUCAUAAGUGGAGUAUCGAAUUUGGGAGGAGUUUUAAAUAUAUAUUCUCAAUAACUACAUCGAUGAUGAUGUACUCAAUAAAAGUUCCUCCGAUACUUAAGUGAAUAUCCAAAGAAACUGAUUCAAACGAUAAAAGAGUCAAACUUAAGAAAAACGAGUUAUGUAUAUAGUAGCAUACAUGAGUAUUUUUAUAGUGAAUUUUUGAAACUCAUAAGAGGAUAUAUGGUGAGUUAACGAGAAAAAGUCAUAUAAAAUAAUUAUUGAACAUAUAUUAAGUUCGACUAAUCAUGCAUCCAAGUAAUUAUUGAGCUAGACAUGAUCUAGUCAUCAUUGUAUUAAUGGUAGUAUGGCUCACUUUCGAGUUUCAUUUAUCGAUAUGUUAUUUUUAUUUUUAUGUCAUAUAUUGGAUUACUUUUGAGCUAAGCUAUAGCAAUUAUUUGAUCCAACAAUCGUAGAUGACUUUGACAUGUUCUAAGCACAUAAAAGGCUACACGUUGAUGCUAUCUACGAUUGUAGAUGAUAAAUAUAAGGUCAUCUUUGAUGGUGUAUCAAAGUGUUAUAAUCGAUCAUUAAAGGUUCCACAUGUUCAGCUGUUAGUGAAGAUAGUUUGUGAUUUGCUUGUGCCCUCAAGUCAACAUUUACGCGUUGCAUAUGGGGUCACAGAGUUAGGCUUUGAAUCAUCUCAUCCAUCAAAAGAGGAAGAAGAAUGCAAGUUGAUUACUGUAAGAGGCAAAGUGAUCCUCAUGUCAAUUGGCUAUUAUGUCGCUUAGUAUGUUGCUGAGGACAUUGUCGAAAAUGGUCCCUCGUAAAUAAUAUCCAAUAUAUUAUUUUUAUUUUAGCAUACGAAAGAUAACAACAAAAUUGUAGUCAAUGAUGUUUACCCAACUCUAUCAAAAGAAUAAAAGACAGAGAGAGAGAGAGAGAGAGAGAGGAUUUAAAUCGAAUACUAUAUAGAAUUUCAAUUAAUAGUCGGAUGAUAGUAAGAUGACAGAGAUUAAUCACAAACGACAUAUAUGAGUUGUCCGAUUUUAGAGGGCUUUUUAGAGGGAUAAAUAACUUGUUUUGCAUUAAGUGCAGGCUAUCGAUUAAUGGCAUGUCUCAAAGCCCAAUUGGCCCAAUUAUCUAAUCGAUUUAUUUUGCUCCCAAAUGAGUAAGGAUCAAUUUUGCAGAGACUUGAUCAGUGUUGAAUGCAAUUUAGUCUUCUCAAUAGGUUUGAGAGAGAUAUAAGCAUCAACAGUAGAAAAAUUUCCAUACACAAGUGCCCAUACGACAUAAGACUACAAAGCAUGCGACGAACAAACCCUAGACACUUUGUCGUGAUGAAAGUUUGUAUGAUAUUUGCUCGUCACCAAUCAAUAUUCUUUCUAUACAAGUCGAAACUAUGAAAAGAUUGACCAUUUGUGAACAUGUCCGUGACAUUUGGUAUGUUCAUGUUUUGCAUAAUAUGUAGAUGGAUGGUCAAAGGUUUAAUAGUCCUAUUCUACUGGGGUUUGAUGGUCGCUUUAGGCUUGUAAAUAAAGAUAGUGUCACGUGAAUACUUGUGAGAGAUUUUCGGUCUGUAGUAAAUCAUUUUAACUUUUUUUUGUAUAACUGUUUAGAAUUUGUACAGUCUGUUUGUAAUUUGCAUUGUCUAUGAAGUGUUUUCGAAAAUAUUUGUUUGUGGAUCCUGAGUUAGGCAUUUCUCUAACUCGUUUUCUCUUUUAUAGAUCCUAAUGAAUCAUGGGAGGUUGACCUUUGAAGACGAACACGCAAGGGUGCCGCACGACUUAGCCUAAAUCAGUUAAGUCCAUGACAAUCGCAAGGAUAUUUUAGUAGAUAUUAUAGUUAAACUAAUAACUGUCACUCACUCCAUCCUUCUCUCUCAUCAUUGGUGUCGUUAAAUAAAUUGUUCGCAUAUGAUUGGGGUGGUGGUUAAAGAUAGGUAGCAGUCAGAAGUAGCAGCAGCAGCUCAUGGCUUGCAUGUCACUUAAUAUAAUCCACAAACGCAUCGCCACUGAUCUCCCUGUCUGCUUGUCUUCCUCCAUGGCUUCCCUCGAGCAAAUCAUUCACCUCAUCCAUGUGAUACCGCAACGUAUAAUAAUGGUACGAUUCCUGCAUUCAACUUCACACGACUGAUCCGAUGGAGGAAUGUGCUGCUGCUUCUGUGUCUACGUAUCUUCAUCCAUGUAGCAAUACUAAAGGUAAUGGGAUCAGGAAACCCUAGAUCGAUUUGAAGAAGAUGAAGGAAGAAGAAACCAGUAGAGUCUCGCAUGGCAUGGCUUCCCUUCCCCACGAAGCAAACUACGAGACCUGUAUCCCUACUUUCUCAGUAAAACGAUGAACCACGAUGUAUCACCCGUCCGACGAAAUGCUGCUAAGGAGGUGGGUUUCCACAUGGUAGACUCGUGCAUCAAAACCAUGCUUCCGGUGGUCAAACUGGAUCCGGCAAAGCUUGUGGUUGAAGGCAAGACGCUCUCUCUCUCUCUCACACACAUAUACAUGUAUAUAUUAGUUUCUUCAAGAAGGAUCUGCAACGCCAUGUGGGAGAUGUCUGCAGGUUGAUUUCUCAUGUGCGUCGCCCAAGUGUUGGACGAGACCAUGUUCGCUCAAGUGCGUGCUGCCUGCCGGUAAUUAAAGCUUGAUGAGUUUGACUCACAGUAGAGAUUCUGUCGGCGCCACUCGCAUGUGACGACCUACGUACGGUGUUCAUGAACUGAGAUGAGACGUACCAGUCGUUCUUCCCUGGACUGAGUUCUUGUGAUUGAAUGAACUCUCUCUCACAAAAAGAAAGAAGAAGAAGAAGAAGAAGAAGAAGAAGAAGAAAUAUGUCUAUGCCUUUUCUUAGUUUCGAAAAUUUGCUCAUAUGAUGACGAUCUCUAACUCUUCCAUAUAAUUCCCAGCCAUAUCUGUCUUUUAUCGUGUCGCUCUCUUUGUUGUCUUCGGAGUGCAAUCUAUCACUGCAAUUGGAUUGCAAACCGACUUUGCUAUUACGUGGAUUUCCGACGACCGGUUGUUGUCGGAGACAAGACUUGCCCAUAUAAUUAAUUUCUGUCAUGUUCCUCGUUUCUUUAUUUCCUUUUCCCAUCAAUUUCAAUGUGGAAAAGAAAGUGUCCAAUUGAUGCUCACUUCGAAAUUGACAUAAUUCACAACUAUUUGGAGUUAUUUUUUAUAUUGUUUUCAUGUUUCCCAUAUGUAUGAAAAAUAAUCGUAAAUGAUCGUAGGAUCUCGAACAUCCGAUUGAUUUUUCGAUAUAAUUCUUUCGACACUCAAAUUAAUAAUGAAAUAAAAAAAAAUUAAAUAAAAUAAUAACUAACCUUAAUUAUUAUAAUUUGAUAUUUUUUAUAAAUAAUUUAAUAAAAAAAAUUCUAAGUUAUAAACAAAAUAUUUGAAUAAAAUUUUAUAUUUGAUCGAUAUCUAUAUGAUUCAAUCAUUGAUCGGAUCCCUGACUAGAUUACCACAUGUCCAACCUUAAUUUACUGAAUAUUUUUCUAUCACAAAUCAAUCAUAUUAUAUGAGCUGUUCCCUAUCAUAAUAUUUUGUUAUAUUUUUUGGGAAAAAAAAUCACUGUUUAUGACAAGACAAAUGUGGUGUAAGAUAGGAGAGAUAUUGACACGUCAUCUUCCGACCUGAGGAUACGUAAACACUUGUGUGGUGAGAAUGUGAUUCAUAUAUGUUUUGUUUUCCGUGAAGACGACUUGCACUGCCAUUUCAGCCAAACGCACGUCAUCGUUACUGUUACGUUACAGAUCACAUCAUCGUCAUCAUCAUCGAGCCACGUAUUAAUCGACCCAUACUGCACGCUUUCCGAUGUGAUUUAGAGAGCGAGGGAUGUCAAACCAGCAGUCUGAUGAAGGCAUAUUCCGAUGACUGCAUCAAGUGAUGCUUUAGGCGAUAAUAGCAAUACUAAUACUAAUAAUAAUGACGAUAGUUCAGGGGAACGUGGCAGCCGGGUGGCGCGCCUCCAAAGGCAGCCGCGUGUCCACAGUGGCGCAAUGGCGACGAGAGAGAGAGAGAGAGAGGGACGUUUGGGCACAUCAACUGCGGCAUCCCACGUCGACUUCCACCUGUCCUUGGAGAUUCGGGUUCCGCACACCGCCACCGAUUCGUAAGUGGGAGUAUCUUUUCGUCUCGGCAUGCCGACGGAAGUGACCGCUCCGCGGUAGCGUGUGGGACCCGAGCGCGUCACGAGCGAGGCUUUGGCCACCGUGCCCCGGGUCCCGCACGGGGGCCCACGUAUGAGACGAAUGACCCAGCUCGUUUGGCAAAUAGGUUUUUCCGCGCGUCUCCUUUCGAUUUUUACGUUGACCCUCGAAAUUUUGACCGCGGAAGCCGCCUCUCUCGCUCUCUCUCCCCGGCGGUGAUUAAAUGCUGCUGUGCUGCAAAUUAGCAGCGGCAGACCUGCGCGAGUCCUUCCAUUGGACGAGUGCGGGCGGUGUUAAUGGUGGGGGUGUGCGUCAGACUGAGAAGACCUUAUUUUUGGUUCUACUCCCAAAAGAGACCUGGACAGGGCGUCGUCGCACGGAAAGGACGAAGAAGUCCAUUAAAGUAGCAAAGCUAUGAAGAGGAAUGGAGCGGUUGGACGGCGAGCAGAGAGGAGACAGAAAAGAACGGUUGCCUUUCUUUCUUCCUUUUUCUUUAUUUUAUUUUAUUUUUUCAAGUACAAAAGAUCAAUUAUAUUAAGUUGUAAAGUUUUAUGCAUGUAUCCGUAUAGUUUUAUUCUUUGAAAGUUUAUGAACUCUAAAAAAUUUAUUUAAGAAUAAAAAUAAUCUUAUAGACUUAUGAGUCCUUGACUAAAUAUUUUUAUCAGCGCUCUUUCCCAUAUAAGAGCUAAGGGCUCAAGGACCUUCUUUUAGCGCUAAUAUGAUAAAUUUAUUUGAUCGAUUCGUCAUUAGUGAUAGAAAUAAAAUAGAAAGAAAGAAGAUUGUAUUGAUGAAACUUUAUUGAAGAAAAAGAAACUUUAGUAUCACUACUGCUGCAACUGCUGCAACAAAGACACUUCUCACUCGAGCGAGAUGCGAAAACGAGGAGAGAUCGCUGGUCGGGGAGCAGUUGUGAGGUCACAUUGGCUCUGCCUUUGCAGGAAGAGGCAGAGGAAGGGCGACAAUAAAGAAUGCCGUCGGUGCAGGGAGAAGAAGAGGGAGGAGAAGAAAGCGUGAUGUGAUGGCCCUUGUUCAGCUUCGAAGGAGGCCGACGUAAUGAUCCUGGAGGACGUCUGUGGAAAACAUUGCACUACUUUGAGAUGGAGUCACGAUCCACGAGGCAGUAGGAGAAGGAGCCGAGAUUCGAUGGAGUCCAAUAGGGAGAUGGGUCGAGAUGUUUAGAAGUGGCCUUUACCACGAGAGCGCGAGAGCUCUGAUACUAUGAUAGAAAUGAAAUAAAAAGAAGAAGAUUAUAUUGAUGAAGUUUUAGUGAAAAAGAAGAAACUUUAGCUUGAAUGUAUUAACAUGCCACUCUCCUAUUUAUACAUAUUAGAAUAGAGGAUGCUAUCAAUUGGUACUGUCCGCAAGCUUGUGAAAAUUUAUUCACUUUGAGUAAUAGGCAUACCCGUAUAAUUUUAUCCCAUUAAAGCUACUAAACUUCAAAAUGUAUCUUUCAAAAUAAGAAUGACCCGAUAGACUUACGAGCCAUUGAUUCUCCUAUUUCUUAAUCAAUAUUGACUAAAUAUCUUAACGAUUAAAAAACUAUCAACUAAACUGAAUUGCCACCCAGCACAAUGAGAUAUUAGUGAAUCAUGAUCAAAUUUUACAAAAUCAAUCGGUACAUCUUUUAUUUUAUCAAGAAUUAAACGACGAGAUAAGUGAUUCGAAAGAAUUCCAAAAGAGUAGAGAGUUAGAUAUUACCUGUGCCAGGGGGAAAUAGUCAUGGGAGAAGGCUUUCCUUGCGGAUCAAAUGGACGAGAAGCAGGGGGUGUUUGUUCUCACCAUCUCACCAUCAAUGCUAAUGCUAGCAGGAGCCGUCGAAGGAUCGAAGGGACUCGCCUUUGCUAUUGGAACAUGGGCGGGCAACGGGGGCCAUCGACGAGCGUCCGUCAACCUUCGCCCCGUUAUUCACCUCCGUUUAUAGUGAAAUCGAUGUAGGAGAAGGAUGUUCGUCCAUGUCUUUACGACCCAAUUAUAUGUGGGGGAAUUGGAGUUGAUCUACAAAGAAGAAGGGUUGCUUAAGGACAGAUUGGAGAGGGAAAGUUUGCGGGGGGCGAGGUGGCGUCUGAUAGAUAGAUGCACUGUUGACUUUGAGAUCCAAACUCGUCUCGAUGCAGGAGCAAUUGUUACCGUCCGCAGUGAUGCCGAGCGCUUUUCUUAUCGUUCUUUUGGGGAGCUGUGUUUGACGCAGCAGAUACAAGUAGCUUUCCGGGAUCCAGAAACGCCUACUGCCUUUUUUACUCUGCAACGACAGUGCCUUCCUUAAGUGCAAAUCUUCGUAGGUCCCUCAGCUACCAUCUCCAGGUCUUGUCAGUCGAGGAAAGGAAAGAGAUUGGAGUGGUUUGGCUCCGGAGGGUGAGACGGGUGGCGGGGUGGUGAUUGAGAUCGUUGGUGUUGAUACCGGGAACUUUGUUUUAUUUGAUCUCCCGUUGCUUCUACUGCUGCUGUUUCUUUCUCAUGGAGAACGGCAGUCGAUGACGACGGUGAUGAUGAGGUGCUUGUGAGUGAUAAAUAGGCUUCGGAGAGAGGAAGCAAGGAAGCUGUGAGCGGAGGAAGGAAGCGAUGGGAACAGGAGGGUGGAAGAGAGCCUUCUGCACGUCGGUCCGUCGAGAUACGGAUGCUGCUGCGACGAGGACGAGGGUGGAAGCGGGGGAGAAGCAUCAGCGCAGCCCCAGGAGCUGCGCCAAGCUGAGCUUCUUCUCCGGCGGCGGCGGCAGCAACCCCUCGACGCCGAGGCUGGCGCUGGCGGAGGCGGCCCCGGGCCUCCGUUGCCGCACCAAGUCGAAGACUCCAGACAACAAGACGGUGCAAUGCGACGCGGCCACAUCUUCCGUCCCCACCGCCACCACUCCGAGGAGUCGGAGCCCCGCUCUGUUUCAUCGGCAGGCCUUCUCCGCGCCUUCGUCUCCGAGAACAGCCUCCAGAUUCGCCCUCUUCAAGCACCUCUCCCGGGUAUGGAAAAGCUUGCACCUUUACCUUUGAUUCCCGCUAUUUCGUUUCUUUUCAUCUCUUUCUUUUUAAUUUGGUCAAUGUUUCCUCCUCUCGAUUGCUGGAUCUCGUGAGAGAGUCGUAGCUUUUGGCCGUGGUGCGGCGCUUUGAUUGCAGAAUGAUGGAGGAAUGGACCGAACUCCCUCCCCAUCUUUUCCAAUCAUUUCAGCUGCUUUUUUUGUCUUUUUUUUCUCAGCCUUUUGUUAUGAUCGAAGCAUGUGAAGUAGUACUCUUAUUGUUGUCGUCGUCGUCGAAGGCUACUGUUUGUUCUCAUUCUGGUGGUGGUGGAACUGCAGAGCCGGUGCAGGAUAUGUUCGCUGAGCCUGAAGGCGAGCCAGGAGACGCCAGUCUUCACGGCGGAGUGCUCCCACGCCUUCCACUUUUCCUGUAUUGCCGCCCACGUCAGGAGCCACGCCAGCCUCGCCUGCCCCGUCUGCUCCGCCUCCUGGCGCCACGCGCCCUUUCUCUCCGCGCUCCGCCGCCGAGAAGACGAUGCACCCGAGCCAGGGGCGGCGGGAGAGACGGAGAACUGGAACCCGAAUAGGAGAACUACCAACGGCGGCAGCCGGAACACCAGCAAAGGCGGGGAACGGCAGCUGGGGGAGAACAGAUUGGCUGCCGGCGCCGCCGCCGCCGUUGUUGCUGCUAAGGUCUAUGACGACGACGAGCCGCUGCUGGUUGUGUCGAAGCCCAACCAGGGAGGGGUGAUGCGAUUCAAUCCUAUACCAGAAGCAGCCAACGAGGACAAGGAUGAGGAAGACGGCGAGGACGAGGAGACGGAGGACGUGGAACGAGACGACGAGUUUUAUGGGCUCCUUGCGACCCCUCGCGCCCGAUCUGCCAGCCGCACUGACGGAGGAGUCCGUCGUCGGCCGACAUCGAGGUCCAGGGCUGGUGGCGGCCUUGUGAGCGUGAUGCCGCAGGCGGCCCUGCUCUCGGAAGGGCGGAGGCACCGAAGCUACGUGGUGGUUCUUAAGGUAAAAGCGCCACCGAUAGGAUCCUUCGCCCCUCUCCGCGCCCCGAUUGAUCUGGUGACAGUGCUGAACGUGAGCCAAGGCAUGACAGGGGAGAAGCUCCGGAUGCUGAAGCGCGCAAUGCGGCUGGUGGUUUUCUCUUUGGGCCCCGGGGACCGGCUCUCCAUAGUGGCCUUCUCGGCAGCCGCAGGUGCUAAGAGGCUCCUCCCUCUACGACGGAUGUCGAGGCAAGGCCAGCGCGCCGCCCGCCAGGUCGUGGAAAGGCUCGUCGUGGUGGGCGGUGGCGCCGCCGCGAGAGGCGCCAGCGUCAGCGACGCCCUCCGGAAGGCCACCAAAGUCCUCGAAGACCGCAGGGAGCGCAACCCGGUGGCCACCAUCAUGCUCCUAUCCGACUCCAGGCAGCAGCAACCGGAACAAGAGAAGAAGGGGAGCAACCAUCAUGAUUACAAACCCCUUCGCUCGCCGCGUGGUACCGGCGGUGGCCAUAUCGGGCUUCAUCCUCUAGCAACGACGACCGCCGCCACUCGCUUCGCGCAUCUGGAGAUCCCCAUCCAAGAUGCUGGAUUUGGAGACGGUGGAGCAGAACGACCGCCACAGAAACAGGGUCAGGUGCCAUCAGAAGACGCGUUCAUCAAGUGCGUGGGCGGCCUCGUGUCCGUGGUCAUGCAGGACGUCCGCCUCCAACUUGUCUUCCCGUCCGGCGAAUUUUCUGCCGUGCACCCGUGCGGAGGUGGCGGCGGUGGCUGCGAAGUGGCCCUCCGAGGAGGGACUUCUGUCAUCCGGUUGGGGGACCUCUAUGCAGAUGAGGAGAGGGAGCUGCUUGUGGAGCUGAGGUUGCCGGUUGCGCCGCCCGGCGGACAGGGCGGGCACCACCGCUUGUCAGUGAAGUGCAACUACAAGGAUCCAGCCACCCAAGAUCUCGCGUUCAGCGCGGAGCAGAUCCUUCUCUUGCCGCCCCUCCUCCAGCACCACUCCGAGCUCGGCCGUUCUGCCUCGUCCUCCGCCAGCCCGACCACUUCCCUGCGCCUACGGAACAUCUUCGUCUCGACCCGCGCGGUGGCGGAGUCGCGGCGCCUCGCCGACCUCUCGGAUUACGCCACGGCCCGACACCUCCUCUCCUCCGCUCGCGCGUUGAUUCUGCAGUCCGCUUCCGAUGGCCGCCAGGACCACCACCUCGUCCAGAACCUUGACGCGGAGCUCGCCGCCCUCCAGCGGCGGCGGUACCAGGCGCAACACCGGCUUCAUCAUGAUCAGCUGCAGGAAGAGGUCCUCUCGCCAUCCGGGAUGAGGCGCCGGCGGCGGGAAGCUCCGGCGGAGGUGCGAGGGGAGCCUCUGACGCCCACUUCGGCUUGGCGCGCCGCCGAGCAGCUGGCCAAGGUGGCCAGCACGCGGAAAAGCCUGAACCGGGGCGGCGAUCUACAUGGGUUCGAGAACGCCCGGUUCUGAGUGAAGACCGACCCAAACCCUAUAAAUAAUCCAUUCUCCUUUCUUUUAUUGUAGACAUUAUUAUUCUCAAAACAAUGAACAUUCUCAUCAUACAUACAUACAUCCACCAAUUGAGUUAGGCGACAUUAAAUCAUCCAAAAAUUAUAGCUUGCGAUUUUGUCCAAUUUGUGCAAUAUUAAGGAUCCUAUCAAAGCCAUUCAUCCCACCUUAACUUUUAAUCUCAACCACCAAUUUGCUUUAUAAAAUCAACUUUAUAAUAUACAUAUGUAUAGUAUAUAUACAUAUGGAAGCAGCAUAUAGGUUUGAGAACAAUCAUAAGCUCAAAUACUACAUAACCAGUAAUAAAAACAAACUCACAAGAGAGUGGCUUAUUAAUUUGUUUUAUCAAAGUAUUAAAUGUGUAAGUGCUAAAUAUGGUUUUAUUACGCAUGUAUAUAUAUAUAUAUAUAUAUAUAUAUAUAUAUAUAUAUAUAUAAUUUGAGAAAACAUGAAUGGGUUAUAAUCUAUGGAUUGAAAGUGAUCAAAUGACGAAUUAAACCUUUUACUCUAUGUGGACGGGAGGGACAUGAUGUGGUAUUUGUCAUAUAGACAGGGAUAUAUACGUAAAGAAGUCCUAUUUCGACUUCAAGUCCGCCGUCGCUUCCCUCAUCCCCUCUCACACGACAAAUCCCUCAUCCGCUGUUGCCGCCUCUGCUUCGAUGCCGAAUCCUCCCAUCCCUCUGCUUCGCUCUUUUGCGCCGGUCUCCUACGACCACCUCGAUGGCGGAGCAGAUGCGAGGAGGAGGAGGAGGAGUUACUGCCGCCUCGAUGAUGUCCUCUUCUGCCGAUGGCUGCGACUAGAACGACCUCUGGUUCGUCUUCUCUUUUGGCCAUGCGGCAUUGGUGGUUGGAGUAAAGGACUCGCCAGCCAUGGCGGCUAGGCCUACGAUCCUACGUAUGGCCCAUGGGAGUGGACUCCUGUCCGCCCUCUCCAAGUGCAAUCCCGCCAUGGGCAGCAGAGCAGAUCACACUACCUCCCUUAUGUUGGAAGAGGAGGAGGAGGCGUAAAGCACAAACCUGUAAGGCCUGGAAUGUCGGUAGCCAAUUCUCUUAUACUUCAAGUCAGAAAGAGACCACCACCAUUGCCGCCACCUUCUCUUCUACUCUUGGAAGCCAAGCCAGGUUCUUGCUCUUGGGAACACACAGGAACCCCUCUCGAUGGAUUUUUCCUGCAAAGCAACCUCCUGCCUCCUCUCUUGGUUUAUAUUGGAUCGCUAAGCUCCCAUGGUUUAACACAUAGCUUGUAGCUUGAUUCGCAGAUCAAAUUUCUUGCUGAGGUGAAUGGGGAGAACAUUGGGCUUCUUCUCGAUUUUGGUGCUGCUCAUCUUGAUAAUAAGUGCCAGUUCCAGUGAUGACCAGAGAUUCACGACUGACAAGAUUCACUUCUGGUUUAAUGGAGAUGGAGAACAAGAGCAAGAAAGAGCCGGAGGGCUCAGCGACGAAGCAGAUUCGAUUCUGAUGCUGGAAAGGGGAGGGGUGGCGCGCGUCCCUGUGAAUGUCCAUAGCUUUGGUGCAGUUGGCGAUGGUGUAGCAGACGACACCAUGGUACAGCUACAGCUGCCAGUUCUCCACAUUUUUAUUUUAGAUUUCCUUCUUUCAUUAAUAUCUUUCACUUGAAAGUCCAAUCUGAUGAUUACAUAUGGAAAUCUUGGACUUAUAAUAUGUUAGGGAUAGAAUUGAGCCUAUGCCAAGCUUACUCAUAUCUAGCAAUAUUUCUUAGUUUACAUCACUUUUGCGCAUCCUUUUUUGUCAUUAAUGUAAUAUGAUAUUUAGCCUCCUUAUUAGAAGCUCUCACCAAUUCGGGAUCUUUUACUAUCUAAAUUGAUUCUUUAAAUUGUUUAUCCUCUUUUUUCACAUAAAUUUGGCGCAAUUAUUUCUGAUACAUGAUCCAGGUGAACACUGUGAUGGAAAACUGUGAAAAUCCCUUGAAUUUUCUAGAUAUUUGUAGUACAUACACUAGUUUGGAGAUUGAUCUGUAAUGCAAAAUACUAGAUUCUUGUAGAUAUACCUCUGAUAUGAUAUGUCACAGAUCAGCCAAAGUCUGAUAGAUUUGGUCCACCCAGUUUGCAUCUCUAUGUGAUUAUGGUUUUCAUUAUGUUAAAAAUUGGUAGUGACAAUGGUGAUCCCUCUUGAUAGAAAGCUUAGCUCCAUCCUUCGGAAAACCAACUAGGAGGGCCCCCAUACGGCUCCAGUAUCACAUUUAUUUGGUGCUUAUGUUAGUUCUGAUACCUUGUAGCUAAUUUCUUAUUUACAUCCAAAAUGUCUUGUAGGCGUUCCGAAAUGCUUGGUAUAAGGCAUGCUCUUUGAAGAAUGCAGUUCUUCUAGUGCCUGAGCGGCAUCGUUAUAAGGUUAAUGCCACUAACUUCAGAGGGCCCUGUCAACGGCACCUAAUUGUCCAGGUACUAUUUAUGUUUCUUGGCACCUUAUGUAAUGCAUUAUACAGUGCUAUAACAAGUAUGAAUUAACAAGGUCUACAAAUUGUAGGAAUCCUCAAAAACACCUGUGUAUGCUGCUUCUUUCCUUACAAUUAUAGUACAAAUGUAUAAAUACAGCUAUGAAGCUCAAUUGCCUUAAAACAUUCAUGAAUUACAAGGAUACCCUUCCAUUUUGGAAUUGGUCAGGUGAAAGGGACAAUAGUAGCACCGGAUGACCCAAAGGAUUGGGAUCCCAAGUACCCAAGUACGUGGCUAUCUUUCUCAAACCUAAACGGGGUCAGGUUCCAGGGUGGUGGGGUAAUCGAUGGUUCCGGUAGCAAAUGGUGGGCUGCUUCCUGCAAGAUCGAUAGAACCAAUGUAAGAAAUAACUCACAUCUUUUUUUGCCUUUUGUUAGCUAUGCUUUAUGCUCCAAUCUCACAUAUUUUUUUUUCACUUAUAUGCAGCCAUGCAAAGAGGCACCAACGGUAAGAUUCUUAUGCACUGCUUUUUCUAGUGCUAUCAUCUAGAUUGGAUGUUAGGUGGACAUGUGGAACAUUUUCUGUCAUUUUAGCCUUUCUUUUGGUCCAAGGUCUCAUGGAUUGAAAGUUUUUGAGUAGAGACUUGUCAGAUAUUUUGGUCUUUUAAUUUAUAACUUAAUAUGGUACAUAAUGCACUGCUAUCUUUAAGUUAGAUCCCUUCUGGGGAUAUAUCAUUGUUUUACUGAGGCAACCAAGAAUAAGGAGGAUUCCAAAAAUAAACAGCUGGGCAUGGCUAAUUCAUGAUUUCGUUUUUCUAGAAUAGGUGAGAAAAAAUGUUGGGCGUAUCAAUUUUCUGUGUCAUGUUAUGAUCCAAUAUAUGUCGAAAAAUAAGGGGAAAAACAAUUUGAGAUGGAUUGAAUGAAAAACUAUCUAUAUGUAUAUAUCACAUAUCUGAAUAUAUGAAGAUUAGUAGACAUGUGGAUAUAAAUCAGGUGCAUGAUGAUCUUGUCAGUGUUUAGGAUGGAUAUUGUAUAUAGUCGAGUGUAAUGUUAAUUUCAACACUUCCUUCUAAACAAUAAAUUCAAAGAAUAAAAUCCUAUUCUUAAUCAGGUGCUUGUACCAACAAAAGUCUUAAACUUGCAGAUUCUAAUUGGAAAAUUAAUUUCUGAAUGUUACCAAAUAAAAAAAUUUAUCUAGAACCUCCUAAUUUAGCAAUACAAAUUUAUAACAUUAGCACAAGAACCUGUUGGUUACACUGACUUAUGUUUCAGGCACUUACAAUUGAUUCAAGCACCAAGAUAAGAGUGAAAGGCCUCACUAUCCAGUUCGCUCAGCAGAUGCAUUUCGUGAUAUAUCGUUCAGAUGUUGUACGAGUAUCUGGAGUGCGCAUAUUGGCCCCAAAAGAUAGCCCAAACACAGAUGGCAUUCACAUUGGUGAGUCAACCGAUGUUGCCAUCCAGAAUUGCCACAUUGGAACAGGUACAUCUGCUAUCUGAAACUUCUUUAAAUGCUUGUCUGUGAUGAUUGUGUCAUUUCAAAGUAGGAGGCAUGCAUGUGUUAUGCAAGUACAACAAUAAUGGAUAUUAGUUGGAGUUACUCUUUAUUCUUUUUAAAAUCUUUGCAUCUUAGUGUAGAAAAAUUUGAGAUUAACCUGCAUGAUUGUGUAGGAUUAACUGAACAAAUAAAUUCUUGUUUGAAUUUUACAAACAAUGAACAAUUUGUAUCGCUCUUAUGUGUCCUUACGCAUAAGGCAUGACAGCAUCAACUUAAGCUUAAUCUCCCCAGUUGUCAAUGUCUACUGUAUGAACAUUGUUGAACUAAAUGGGAAAUCUAAUUUUGGACAUGAAAAUUUGUCUUUCUUUCCCCAAUUGCAUAUGCCUUUUUUGAUGUAUUUCUUGAUAUUAUAUCUCAGAUCAUGGCUAUAAGUGAAAACACUUUAACAAUAAAGAAGUCAUUUUUGUUGAUUAAACAGGGGAUGAUUGUGUUUCAAUUGUGAAUGCUAGUUCAAAUAUCAAGAUGAAGAAAAUUAUGUGUGGGCCAGGGCAUGGAAUCAGGUACCACCUAGUAUUGUGUUCGAAUUGUCUUGAAAAAACCUUGAAUGAAGAUUGACCUGCUGAUUAAGAGUGAUGAUGUGAUUUCUCUCUGUGGUAAUUUGGAUGGUUAGUAUAGGGAGCCUAGGAAAGGAUAAGUCAACAGGCAUUGUUACAGGUGUUGUCUUGGACACUGCAACAAUCUCUGGCACUAAAAAUGGUUUAAGAAUCAAAACCUGGCAAGUAAGUAUCCUGCAGUCAUAUGCUUGAUAUCUUAUAUGGCUUUGGUCUAUGGAGAAAAGAAAUGUCUUGCCUCAUACUAUCUACAUGGAUGAUUGCCUAAAGUCUCAAAUUGCUGAACAGGGUGGAUCAGGAUAUGUUAAGUCAGUGCGCUUUGAGAAUGUGAAGAUGAAUGAUGUUGAGAACCCGAUCAUCAUAGACCAGUUUUACUGUGAUUCCCCAGCCACUUGCAAGAACCAAGUAAGGUCACUUAAGCUUAAUUCCUUUGUUCACAUAAUAAAAAUGGUAUAAAGAUAAAAACAUUGAUGUUUAAUGACAUACCUGUCUUCCUGUGCUUUCUGCUUCAGUUCUCCAACCGAAGUUCAAAUUUUCUAGCAGUUGUACCUUGCCAUAUAAUCUGGAACUAUAUCUGUAACAACUAAGAUCUAACUGCAAGUAAUGCUAGUAAACAUGAUUAGAAUGCUUGGUUUCAAAUUUGUAAUUUUCCAUUACAAAUAGUCAUCCAAUUAUGUUAUAGAUGUAUCUACACGGCAUACAAAACUUUUGGUUUAGUGAUAUGGUCAAUUUUGGUGAUCAAUCCAACUCGGUGAAAUUUAUUCUGACCCAACUUGUUUUUCGAGUUGUUGUAUCAUGGCUCAAGGAAAAUUGGACCAUUUGUAUCAUGUAUGACAUAUCUGCACCAAGGGUGCAUUCAACUAAACUUCUUCGAUGUUCGAGGUAGUGUGUGUUUGUUCGUUUCAAACAUCAAAAACCCAUAAGGAGUUCAUAAUUCAUCUACUCAUUUUGAAGAAAAAACCUUUAAAAAGAUUAUUUUGUAUAGUGUCUGUUUUUCCACUGUCAUGGCAAUUUAGUAUUAUGUUGAUAUAACAUGUCCACUGGAUUCUUUGUCAUCUUUGAAAGUUGACAUGACAUGUCCAGCAGACAUUGACUGGAACUCUAUGUGCCGAGUCCUGAUUUAUCGAAAAUAAUGAGGAUAUCACAACCUGGUUGUCUUGGUAAUCCCUAACUUGCCUUUGUAGUGUUGAUAAACCAAUUCGAUUAGUAAGAGUUUCAAGUAGUAACAUCCUUAUCAUGGAAUAGAUUUUGUUUCUCUUAGUCAAAGAUUUGUGAAAAAUUCAACAAGAAUAUCUAGUAGAGAUGAUUACUUUGUUGAAAAUGUCCUAGAAAUUUGCUACCUUCUUGAAAUUGUUAAUAUCACUAGCAAGCUGUUUUUCUUUUCCUCUUUCUUUUCAGACAUCAGCAGUGAAGAUAAGCCAAGUCAUCUUCAGGAAUAUAAAUGGCACCUCAAGAACUCCUCACGCAAUGAAAUUUGCAUGCAGUGACACUGUACCAUGCAGCAACAUUGUCCUGAACAACAUUAACCUCGAGACGGAAAACGGCACAGCUAAAACCUUCUGCAAUUGCGCCAUGGGAUUCCACUACGGAAUUGUGCAGCCUACGGCGGAUUGCCUCAAGUCCUCCAGCUGUGGCGGAAUCCAGGAAGAUGCCCAAAGGCAAACUCAUGAUCCUACCCACACAGAGCUAUGAUUCCUCUCCUCAAAGAAGCCAUCACAAACAAGUGAUGGCAAAGUGCCAGAAGAUAAGGCUAGUGCUGCUGGGGUUAUUGAAGAUGUGUUCAUGUCUACUUUUUAAAGAUGGAUAAUUUACUUGGGUGGCUAAACUUGAAUUGUUGAAAGUGAAUACUAUGUAGCUUUGUACCUAUAGAACACUAAAAAAUAUUCUUUAUGAUCUUACAAUAAUCAAUUUCUCUUGCUUUCAAAUUGAAAGUUGAUAAAAAAAAAAAUCUAUGUAUAAUGUUGAUGACAGGAUGGAUACCAACAAGAAUGAAGCUUGAUUUUUUAUUUGUAAUGGUUCGAUAACAAGGACGAGAUGAGAUUUGAUUCCCUGAUAUGAUAAUAGUUAUAGUACCAUCAAAGUUAUUUUUUAUUUCUAAUCUUGUUCUAAUAUGAUAACCUAUUUGAUUAAGAUAAACUAUAAAAUUUUGAUUGCAUAGUAAGGUAACGUCACAACUCUGAAUCUUCAAAUAACACCGACUCAGUUUACAUGUAAUGAUCACAGUUGGCGACAUUCUUUAAUGCAUCACAACAGAUCAUAUCAUCCUAAAUACGUCCACAUCUAUUGUUCAACGCGAUGAUUAAACAUCCAAAUUAUUGUCUUAUUCGACGAAAUAUUAGCGUGUGAUUCCAGAAAUAUCUCCUCGCCCACUUGUCGAAUUGUGGCCCAGAAGAAGACAUCUGUGGUGGACACAGUCAACACUGCACAGUCAUCAUCCCAUCAGCCACGUUUAGUUCCUUAACAUAAGCGUCAGAACAUGAUUCCUACGAGACGGCAAGUCUUGCAGCUUACAUUACCUGCACUUGUGCGGUUGUCGUAGAGCUUUCGGCAUGGGCUGCGCUCCGACGAGCGCAGGCCCACCACCUGUCCGCAAACCUUCAGCUGCAAACCACGAGAAAAUCGUCGUCCCAACCCACCAAUCGAUCACGUAUUGACUCAUCUCUGAGUCGGAGGUUGAAGGCAGAGAAAGCAAUGGCGUGAACGUCUUCAACCUCUGCGCCUGCGUUAAGCAAAUCGCACGUGUACAGCUCUCGUGACGUGACGAAGCCGUGCAGCCGCUGUUUCUUCUGGUGCUUUCGCAAGGUAGGGCGCUACAAAAAUCUGCCGGGGAACACGGCCACGCGUCGCCAGAUGUGCGGCAGCGGCUGGAGCUCCCUCGGCGCGGGUAGGGAAUAUAAAGCGGUCCCCCGGGCUUCCCACCUUCCCUCCCGUCCAUGAGAGCGCAUCGAGCGUGUUGGUCUGGUGCAAAGAGUGCUCUUCCAUCAAGAAGAAGCAGUCCUCGGCUUUAAGAUGACGGUGACUCCCGGGAUCACGAUCAGCGACGGGAAUCUGGUGGUCUAUGGGAAGACCAUCCUUACCGACGUCCCGGACAACAUCGUCCUCACUAGCGGCACCGGCGCCGGCCUCAUGGCUGGGGCCUUCAUCGGCGCCGCCGCCUCCGACAGCAAGAGCCUCCACGUCUUCCCCAUGGGCACCCUCCGGUAAGUCCCCGCUCCUCGGUUACGCCUUUGUGUGUAUUGUGAUCGGUCGGAGAUUAACGGCCGGCGUGGUGCGUCGACCGCCAGGGGGCUACGGUUCAUGUGCUGCUUCCGUUUCAAGUUGUGGUGGAUGACGCAGAGGAUGGGAACGUGCGGGCGGGACGUGCCGCUGGAGACGCAGUUCCUGCUGGUGGAGGGCAAGGAGGCGGAGGCGUCCACCGUCUACACCGUCUUCCUCCCGCUCCUGGACGGCCCGUUCCGUGCCGUCUUGCAGGGCAACGACAAGGACGAGAUCGAGAUAUGCCUGGAGAGCGGUAAGCAAACAAUCAAGAGACCGGCCAACUGUAGAAAGUGCAGAUGCGGCGUUUGAUGUUAUUGCUGGCUCGUUUCCUGGUGCAGGAGACGAGGCGGUCGAAACAAAGCAGGGGAUGCACAUGGUCUACAUGCACGCCGGCGCCAAUCCCUUCGAGGUCAUCAGCCAGGCGGUGAAGUACGUCGCACCUGUUAACUUCGUAGCUCAAUAGGCUUCCUGAUUCCUUUCUACUAACCAAUUCGCUGUGGUAAAUCCGCCGAACAGGGCGGUGGAGAAGCACCUGCAGACGUUCCACCACCGCGAGAAGAAAAAGGUAAACACCCUCGUUCACGUGACGGGAACCCUCUCUCGCGCGCUGUCUAUGUCCGGAGAUUUCUGCAAGCUUCUUCGCACUGAUAGAUGACGGUGAUUGACGCAGUUGCCUUCCUUCGUGGACUGGUUCGGGUGGUGCACGUGGGACGCCUUCUACACAGACGUCACCGCCGAGGGUGUGGACCAAGGCUUGCGAAGGUGAAGACCUCUCUUUCUCCGCCGUAACUGCGGUGGCUCGUGAGAGCAUCCGUCGAUAACCUCUCGUCCCCCGUGAUUUCGCAGCUUGUCCGCGGGCGGUGCUCCGCCGCGUUUCCUCAUCGUAGACGACGGGUGGCAGCAGAUCGGCAGCGAGGUCAGGGAUCAGACGGCUGCCGUUGUCCAGGAAGGAGCACAGUACGCAUCACGACCCUCAGUCCUCCUCGUUCGCGAUGACCCCCGCGAGUGGUCCCUUCUUCCCGUCUCGUCAAGCUGCUUUGUGACUGGCAGCAGCGGCGGCGCCGCCAAUCACAAGGCAGAUGAGCGAGACGAGGAAGGCCAUGAAUUGAACUCUUGGUAGGAUCUCCGUUUGGUGGUGGCGUGUUUAAUGUGCGGUACUGUUGACCAGGUUCGCCAGCAGGCUGACGGGGAUAAAGGAGAACGCCAAAUUCCAACGCAAGCAGGGCGAGGGCGAGCGGCGCAGUGGGCUUAAGCAGGUAGUGGAGGAGGUCAAGAAACGCCGCGACGUGAAGUGAGUCUUAUACGCUCAAACAAGUUGUUAAGAUAAACUAGUCAGUAUUAAUAUAUAUUAACUCAAAAUUAUUGAUAGAUUAUAAGUUAGACUAUAUAUAUAUAUAUAAUUCUAUUUUUUAGAUAUUUAUUGAUGAUUAUUUUUCUUCAAUCUCUUUUCACACUUUAAUAUCUUUUAAUAUAUUUUUUAUUAAUGUAUGAUUAAAUUAUCUCUCUCUUGCUCGUAAAAAUAGAUGGUGUGAUCAAUUUUAUUCGCUUGACUCUUAUUUUCAACCUCAUGUUAGUUUAAAUUUUUCUUUAAUAUUAAAUUUAUAGGACUAAUAUAUUAAGUUUGAUAAAAAGGAGAAAGGAGACAUAUAAUUAUAUAACUAUAUAUAUUUAAUUUAAAAUUAUAAUAUAAAAUUUCAAUAAUUAUAAUUAUAUAUAUAAUUUAAUUAUAUAUGUAAUUAAGUUUUCUUUCAUAAUAAAAUAAUUAUUUUACAAUUUUAAUUAAUACUUAUUAUUUUUCUAAAUAUCUCUAAUGUUUUUUAAAAUAUUAAUAUAUUAAAAAAAUUCUCUAUGCAUGUGUGACUUAAUUGUAAGACGAGCGAAUGACUGUUCUGAUCCGAGCAAGCUGUUGUUGCAGGUUUGUGUACGUGUGGCACGCAAUGGCCGGAUACUGGGGCGGGGUGAAGCCGGCGGUGCAGGGGAUGGAGCACUACGAGAGCGCGCUGGCGUACCCGGUGCAGUCGCCGGGGGUGAUGGGCAACCAGCCGGACAUUGUCAUGGACAGCCUCUCCAUCCAUGGCCUCGGCCUCGUCCACCCCAAGAAGGUGUACAGCUUCUACAACGAGCUGCACGCCUACUUGGCCGCUUGCGGCAUCGACGGCGUUAAGGUGGACGUGCAGAACAUCAUCGAGACGCUGGGCGCUGGCCACGGCGGCCGCGUCUCCCUCACCCGCGCCUACCACCAGGCCCUCGAGGCCUCCGUCACCCGCAACUUCCCCGACAACGGCUGCAUCUCCUGCAUGUGCCAUAACACCGACGGCCUCUACAGGCAAUGAAGCCUCACCCUCUCCUCCUCUCCAUCGACGAUUCAUGCUUUGCAUACUAAUCUGAUGGUUUGACUGCGUCGGUGCAGCGCGAAGCAGACGGCGGUGGUGAGGGCGUCGGACGACUUCUACCCGAGAGACCCGGCGUCGCACACCAUCCACAUCUCCUCUGUGGCCUACAACACCCUGUUCCUGGGGGAGUUCAUGCUGCCGGACUGGGAUAUGUUCCAUGUAAGUGAGCACUCAUUUCUCCCCUGAAUCAAAUCCUUACUUGAGCAACACAAGUUUGAUAUGGCAACCUCCUCCUCUGAGCAGAGUCUCCAUCCAGCAGCAGAGUACCACGCUGCUGCUCGAGCAAUUGGUGGCUGUCCCAUCUACGUUAGGUGGGCGACCGCGUUCACAGCUAAGUGGAACCUCACCGUACGAUCCUUUCUUCUAAGCUUUGCUUGCACGUUGGCGCAGUGACAAACCGGGCCACCAUAACUUCGAGCUACUGCGUAAGCUAGUGCUGCCGGACGGCUCCAUCCUGCGCGCGCAGCUCCCGGGUCGCCCGACGCGCGACUGCCUCUUCUGCGACCCAGCUCGUGACGGCACCAGGUCGCCCAUCGUCUGCCUUCCUUUACUCUGCGUUGUGAUGGCGAGUUAUAGAGCUAAGCCUCGUGAUCCAUGUCGUCCUUUCAGCUUGCUCAAGAUAUGGAACGUCAAUAAGUGCUCCGGCGUGGUGGGGGUCUUCAACUGCCAAGGCGCCGGCUGGUGCAGGCAUACCAAGAAGACUCGCGUGCACGACGCCGCCCUGGGUACACUCACGGGCACAGUCAUUGCCACCGACGUCGACGCCAUCGCCCAACUCGCCGGCCCGGAUUGGGGCGGCCAAGCUGUCAUCUAUGCCUUCAAAUCAGGUUUAAUUACAUAACUUGUUGAUCGCUCUCUUCACCUGAUACGUCGUCAUAGAUAUGCUCAUCAUAAUCUCUCUUCAGGAGAGCUGAUUCGGCUACCCAAGGGAGCAACGCUGCCGGUGACUCUCAAAGUUCUCGAGUACGAGGUCUUCCAUGUCUGCCCUGUCAAGGUAUAUAACUACUUUUCCUGACAAUUCCUCGUUAGAUCGGUGCAGUGAAGGAGAUCCAACUGUGUACAUAUAUGCGCAGAACAUCACCCCGAGCAUAUCAUUUGCGCCGAUUGGCCUGCUAGAUAUGUUCAACACCGGCGGCGCGGUGGAGCAAUUCGACGUGAGCGUGACGUCAAACCACGCCGCCGCUGGACAAGACGACGGCCACGUCCCCAGCGAUCCGACGGCCACCCUGAGCACGGCCACUGUGGCACUUCGGGUGAGCGGCCGCGGGCGUUUCGGGGCGUACUCGUCACAGCGGCCACUCAGAUGCACGCUCGAUUCGUCGGACGUGGAGUUCAGCUACGACGAGGGGACUGGGCUUGUGACCAUCAACUUCCCGGUGCCGGAGAAGGAGAUGUACAAGUGGAGUCUGCAGAUCCAAGUUUAGAGGCAAAGCAGGAAGAUUUGAGGGUUGGGGAGUUGAAAUGUGAUGAUGCGUAGAUGACUACUAAUGAGGUGAUUUGAGGUGGAUGCAGCAACGUUCUAAUAAACAGCUAUCAUCGCACGAAACGAGCUCUCUGCCAUUGCUGACACAUUUGAAGCUUCUUCUUCUCAAUCAAAUGAUAUUAUGCUGAGAAGUUGACCUGUUGCUUUCAAACCGAUUGCCUGAGAUCUAAUCUACAGACAUUAAGAUCUGUGCGACAAAUAAAACAACAAACAGGAUUACAAGCAUCUUGAAUUCACUUCCAACUGACAGAAAAAUAACUUCUUUAUACUUAAAUUCAUUUGCUUUAAUUGCAUUAUAGAAAUAUUAAGUCAUGCCUUUGUCAUUUGUUUUAAUAAUUGAGGAAUUGCAUGACAAAAGCCCAGAAGAUCUACAAAUAGUAACUCUAUUGAAGUGCUAAUCCCAUAGAGCUAGGUUGAUUGAAGUCNNNNNNNNNNNNNNNNNNNNUAUAUAUAUAUAUAUAUAUAUAUAUAUAUAUAUAUAUAUAUAUAUAUAUAUAUAUAUAUAUAUAUAUAUAUAUAUAUAUAUAUAUAUAUAUAUAUAUAUAUAUAUGUUUGCGUAAACAAAUUUGGAGCCGUGGCCUCGGGGCCAACGCGGCUCGGUUCGGGUCCGGAUGGCGGGAUCUUCCCGGUGCGGCCCUCGGGUUCGCCAAGGUAGUCGGCUACGGCGGUUCGAUCGGGACGGCGUCAACCGUCUCCACCGGAGGGGGCUCCUCAGUUGGGCACGAGCCUCCCGACCCGACCCCUCCGACGAUCAAGUCAGUAGAUGGUGGAGGGGGUAGAAAGGAGAAGAGUUUGAGGUGUCUCCCUAGUGUGUUCUUUUCCUCCUCUCCCCCCUUGCUCGUUCAUAGCGCGAGGGUAUUUAUAGGGAAGCUUUUGUUGUUUGAUGUACCCGCUUGCAGGGGGUAGGCUGGUUGCGUCUGACAUUGGUUUGGCGUGGCGUGAAGAGCCGAGCUUGAGUGGGCGUUAAUGCGCCUCGGGCUGUGUUUCGGUUUGCUUGACCGGGUGUCGUCGCGUCGUCCGAGGCAUUAGGCAUCAUCUGACGUCAGCCAGGUCUUAUCAUAAUUACUACCCUCAUCAUAUUCCCCCCCGGAAAGAAGCUAUGCGUCGGUCGUUGUAACGAGAGUUCGAGGCAUGGCUUCAGCUUUCAGACGGGCUGGCCGUGCAGGCAUGGUCUCAGGGGCAUGAAGCCGAGGGGCACGACGCAGGCGGGCUAGCCGCGCAGGUGUGUCUCGGGGGCAUAGAGCCGAGGAGCAUGACGCAGGCGGGCCAGCCGCGCAGGUGUGUCUCGGGGCAUGGAGCCGAGGAGCACAACGUAGGCGGGCAGGCCGCGCAGGUGUGGUCUCGGGCAGCAAGGGGCCGAGGGGCACGACGCAGGCGGGCUGGGCGCACAGGUGUGUCUCAGGGCAUGGAGCCGAGGAGCACGACGCAGGUGGGUUGGUCGCGCAGGUGUGUCUCGGGGGCAUGAAGCUGAGGAGCACGACGCAAGCGGGCUGGCCACGCAGGUGUGUCUCGGGGGCAUGAAGCCGAGGAGCAUGACGUAGGCGGGCUGGUCGCGCAGGUGUGUCUCGANNNNNNNNNNNNNNNNNNNNNNNNNNNNNNNNNNNNNNNNNNNNNNNNNNNNNNNNNNNNNNNNNNNNNNNNNNNNNNNNNNNNNNNNNNNNNNNNNNNNNNNNNNNNNNNNNNNNNNNNNNNNNNNNNNNNNNNNNNNNNNNNNNNNNNNNNNNNNNNNNNNNNNNNNNNNNNNNNNNNNNNNNNNNNNNNNNNNNNNNNNNNNNNNNNNNNNNNNNNNNNNNNNNNNNNNNNNNNNNNNNNNNNNNNNNNNNNNNNNNNNNNNNNNNNNNNNNNNNNNNNNNNNNNNNNNNNNNNNNNNNNNNNNNNNNNNNNNNNNNNNNNNNNNNNNNNNNNNNNNNNNNNNNNNNNNNNNNNNNNNNNNNNNNNNNNNNNNNNNNNNNNNNNNNNNNNNNNNNNNNNNNNNNNNNNNNNNNNNNNNNNNNNNNNNNNNNNNNNNNNNNNNNNNNNNNNNNNNNNNNNNNNNNNNNNNNNNNNNNNNNNNNNNNNNNNNNNNNNNNNNNNNNNNNNNNNNNNNNNNNNNNNNNNNNNNNNNNNNNNNNNNNNNNNNNNNNNNNNNNNNNNNNNNNNNNNNNNNNNNNNNNNNNNNNNNNNNNNNNNNNNNNNNNNNNNNNNNNNNNNNNNNNNNNNNNNNNNNNNNNNNNNNNNNNNNNNNNNNNNNNNNNNNNNNNNNNNNNNNNNNNNNNNNNNNNNNNNNNNNNNNNNNNNNNNNNNNNNNNNNNNNNNNNNNNNNNNNNNNNNNNNNNNNNNNNNNNNNNNNNNNNNNNNNNNNNNNNNNNNNNNNNNNNNNNNNNNNNNNNNNNNNNNNNNNNNNNNNNNNNNNNNNNNNNNNNNNNNNNNNNNNNNNNNNNNNNNNNNNNNNNNNNNNNNNNNNNNNNNNNNNNNNNNNNNNNNNNNNNNNNNNNNNNNNNNNNNNNNNNNNNNNNNNNNNNNNNNNNNNNNNNNNNNNNNNNNNNNNNNNNNNNNNNNNNNNNNNNNNNNNNNNNNNNNNNNNNNNNNNNNNNNNNNNNNNNNNNNNNNNNNNNNNNNNNNNNNNNNNNNNNNNNNNNNNNNNNNNNNNNNNNNNNNNNNNNNNNNNNNNNNNNNNNNNNNNNNNNNNNNNNNNNNNNNNNNNNNNNNNNNNNNNNNNNNNNNNNNNNNNNNNNNNNNNNNNNNNNNNNNNNNNNNNNNNNNNNNNNNNNNNNNNNNNNNNNNNNNNNNNNNNNNNNNNNNNNNNNNNNNNNNNNNNNNNNNNNNNNNNNNNNNNNNNNNNNNNNNNNNNNNNNNNNNNNNNNNNNNNNNNNNNNNNNNNNNNNNNNNNNNNNNNNNNNNNNNNNNNNNNNNNNNNNNNNNNNNNNNNNNNNNNNNNNNNNNNNNNNNNNNNNNNNNNNNNNNNNNNNNNNNNNNNNNNNNNNNNNNNNNNNNNNNNNNNNNNNNNNNNNNNNNNNNNNNNNNNNNNNNNNNNNNNNNNNNNNNNNNNNNNNNNNNNNNNNNNNNNNNNNNNNNNNNNNNNNNNNNNNNNNNNNNNNNNNNNNNNNNNNNNNNNNNNNNNNNNNNNNNNNNNNNNNNNNNNNNNNNNNNNNNNNNNNNNNNNNNNNNNNNNNNNNNNNNNNNNNNNNNNNNNNNNNNNNNNNNNNNNNNNNNNNNNNNNNNNNNNNNNNNNNNNNNNNNNNNNNNNNNNNNNNNNNNNNNNNNNNNNNNNNNNNNNNNNNNNNNNNNNNNNNNNNNNNNNNNNNNNNNNNNNNNNNNNNNNNNNNNNNNNNNNNNNNNNNNNNNNNNNNNNNNNNNNNNNNNNNNNNNNNNNNNNNNNNNNNNNNNNNNNNNNNNNNNNNNNNNNNNNNNNNNNNNNNNNNNNNNNNNNNNNNNNNNNNNNNNNNNNNNNNNNNNNNNNNNNNNNNNNNNNNNNNNNNNNNNNNNNNNNNNNNNNNNNNNNNNNNNNNNNNNNNNNNNNNNNNNNNNNNNNNNNNNNNNNNNNNNNNNNNNNNNNNNNNNNNNNNNNNNNNNNNNNNNNNNNNNNNNNNNNNNNNNNNNNNNNNNNNNNNNNNNNNNNNNNNNNNNNNNNNNNNNNNNNNNNNNNNNNNNNNNNNNNNNNNNNNNNNNNNNNNNNNNNNNNNNNNNNNNNNNNNNNNNNNNNNNNNNNNNNNNNNNNNNNNNNNNNNNNNNNNNNNNNNNNNNNNNNNNNNNNNNNNNNNNNNNNNNNNNNNNNNNNNNNNNNNNNNNNNNNNNNNNNNNNNNNNNNNNNNNNNNNNNNNNNNNNNNNNNNNNNNNNNNNNNNNNNNNNNNNNNNNNNNNNNNNNNNNNNNNNNNNNNNNNNNNNNNNNNNNNNNNNNNNNNNNNNNNNNNNNNNNNNNNNNNNNNNNNNNNNNNNNNNNNNNNNNNNNNNNNNNNNNNNNNNNNNNNNNNNNNNNNNNNNNNNNNNNNNNNNNNNNNNNNNNNNNNNNNNNNNNNNNNNNNNNNGCAUGACGUAGGCGGGCUGGUCGCGCAGGUGUGUCUCGAGGGCAUGAUUCGAGGAGCACGACGCAGGCGGGCAGGCCGCGCAGGUGUGGUCUCAGACAUCAUGUGGCCGAGUAGCACGACGCAGGCAGGCAAGUCGCGCAGGUGUGAUCUCGGGCCGAGGGGCAUGACUCAAUCGGGCAGGCCGCGCUGAGGUGGGCUCGGCAGUCUAUGGCCUAGGAGCUCGGCGCAAGCGGGCUGCAACCGAGGGACAGGGCUCAAGCGGGCAGGCCGCGCUAAGGUGGACUCGGCAGUCAAUGGCUAAGAGAUGCAACUCAGGUGGGCAAGGCGCCCUGAGAUGGACUCGGCAGUCUAUAGCCGAGGAGCUCGGCGCAGGCGAGCUGCAGGCGAGGGAUACGGCUCACGUGGGCAGGCCGCGCUGAGGUGGGCUCGGUAGUCUAUGGCCGAGAGAUGCAACUCAAGUGGGCAAGCCGCCCUGAGAUGGACUCGGCAGUCUAUGGCCGAGGAGCUCGGCGCAGGCGGGCUACAGCCGAGUGACACGGCUCAGGCGGGCAGGCCGUGCUGAGGUGGGCUCGGCAGUCUAUGACCGAGGAGAUUUUAAGCCGAGCCGAGAGGGGGUCAGGUAGACACUGAACCUUGGCUCGAAAGAGGCCGAGGCAGAGCUUAGAUUUCUUUUCACGAGGACUACAUCGGGUAGCCACCGCGGGUGCUUGACCUCUCUUAUGGAGCCCGCGGUCGAGAGCCGUUGCUUCUCCUCACGGUCGCCCAGGCCUCCGCGGCGAUGUACCAGUUAGCGCGUUGGAGCAUCUCUGGCACCGUGGUGGGAGGUUGCUCCGCGAGGGACAAGAGGAGUCUGGAAGGUCGCAGGCCUAUCAUAAACGCCUGCACUAACAGAGAGGGGUGAGUGUCCGGCAGGCCCCGGAUUUGCGUGGUAAAGCGAUCCACAAAAUGAGAGAGGGGCUCGUCCUCCCUUUGUUUGAGUCCGAGGAGUAGUGCCGCGGAAGGCUUCGGCCGUGCAUAGGCCACGAAGUAGAGCUUGAAGUCCUUGACGAGCUGGUCGAAGGAAGUGAUCGUUCUGGUCUUUAAGGUGUCAUACCACGUGUGGGUCAGCCCUCUCAGAGUAGUAGGGAACGCUCUGCACAUCAAGGCAUCAGAGGUUCCGCAUAGCGCCAUUUGGGCGCGAAAAGCAGCUACAUGGUCCGCCGGGUCGGUGGAGCCAUGGUAAGCAUCCAGAGAGGGGAGCUGGAAGUCCAGGGGGACUGUCUGAUCCCGUAUCUCAGGCAUGAAGGGAGACCCUUGGUGUGCUUCCACCUUGAGCUCUCCCUUGGACCUGCGAACCUCUUCCUGCACCUCGUCGAGUCGCUGACUGACGAAGCGCAACUGGGCCCGUAGGGAGUCCAAAGAGAGUGCCUCGGGUUUCGGGCGGCCGCUCGGGUUUGCCAUCACUGGAUCCCCGAGUGGGGUCGGUCGGACCUGAGGUGAAGUGGGGGGCUCCGGAAGUGUUGUGUGGGCCCGAACGGGCGGCUCGUAUUGUCGCAACGGUUGGGCUGCAAGCGGGUGUGCCGGAUGAGGAACGAGCGGGAUGAUGGUUUGCACCAUAUCCAUCAGAGCUCGAACUUGACGGGCGAGGUCCUGGAAGGCCUCGGGUGACACGGGCGUCGAGUUGGCGAGGGCGCCAUCGGGCAGCGACAAACCCGGGUCGUUGAACAUUUGCCAGUAUCGUUCGGAGGUCGUGGCGGGGUGUUCGUCACGAUGGCCUCCGUGCGAGGGAUGUUCCCCUAAGGCUCCAGUCGGGUGCGACCUGUCAGCUGUCCGAGCCGCUCGGGUGAUCACCCGACAUUCUGGGCAUUCCUUCUAGCGCCAAAAUGUUUGCGUAAACAAACUUGGAGCCGUGGCCUCGGGGUCGACGCGACUCGGUUCGGAUCCGGAUGGCGGGAUCUUCCCGGUGCGGCCCUCGGGUUCGCCGAGGUAAUCGGCUACGGUGGUCCGAUUGGGACGAGGUCAUCCGUCUCCGCCGGAGGGUGCUCCUCAGCUGGGCACGCGCCCCGUUUGUAGUCCUGCACACAGGUCGGGUCGGGAGGCUCGACCCGACCCCUCCGACGAUCAACUCAGUAGAUGGUGGAGGGGGUAAAAAGGAGAAGAGUUUGAUGUGUCUCCCUGGUGUGUUCUUUUCCUCCUCUCCCCCCUCGCUCGUUCAGAGCGCGAGGGUAUUUAUAGGGAAGCUUGCUGUUGUUUGAUGUGCCCGCUUGUAGGGGGCAGGCUGGUUGCGUUUGACAUUAGUUUGGCGUGGCGUGAAGAGCCGAGCUUGAGUGGGCGUUAAUACGCCUCGGGUUGUGUUCCGGUCUGCUUGGUCGGGUAUCGUCGCGUCGUCUGAGGCGUGAGGCGUCAUCUGACGUCAGCCAAGUCUUAUCAUAAUUACUAUCCUCAUCAAUAUAUAUAUAUAUAUAUAUAUAUAUAUAUAUUGCACUAUUACGGUCAUGUCAUGCUAAUGUGGUACACAUCUGGGGUGAGAAAGGUCUAUGAUAAGUAAACUGGAUACGGCUUAUUUAUGAUGCUAUCUAAAAUGAGACACUAAAUGAUUGCUACAUAGUGUUUGGACUUAUUAAUUGUCCAUUACUCCUUGUAUGCUCAUAAUGGAUAGGAUGAGAAAAUUGGGAAGUGAAUACUGCCGUACGGUGAAUUGAUUCAUAUUUAGAAUAAAAUAAAUAAUACUUGUUGAGUGUACGUAUGAAUGUGGGGCCACCGCAUCGUAAUCCCAUCACACCAAGCUCGAAUCUCGACGCAAGCGACGGUCUUCUUUUCAAAUCUGAUUCGAACACCAAUAGCCUCGUCAUUCGUGCCACAGUUGAUACCUGCUCUGAUUCUUUACUGCUGACUCAGUCCCUUCACCGGGCUGCACACCCGAUUCGAAUAGCCGAAUGCCCAUAAGCUCAUCAGGGCCGUCCAUUUAAUCCAUCGCCGAUCGAAUCCUCCCGUGACAUAGGAUUCCCGUCACCGCCGAGUGACAAGGUCCGUUCACCUCUCUUGCUGUUCUUCGCACGUGAGUACAGUGGAAAGAUUUCGAAUCCAACGCGUCCUCCCACGCGUGGGGCGUACGCACGAGUAUGGGCAUUUUGGGAUGUCCACCAUGUGGUGAGCGCGUAUGCUACGCUGUAAGAACUGCCAAAAGAAGAAAAUAGUAUGACAGUCACACCCUCGAAGUUACUCGAGUCGCUUGCGAGUCGUUGAUUGGCGAAGAUGGUAGUAUGGAUGCGGGACCCACCUGAUGGACCCGAAAGCCGUAUGUAAAGGAAGUAUCCUGUGGCGCCACGAAACGUCGGUGAUUGCGGUCAAUCCGCUUCCAUCAUAUAUAACGUCCGACAUGUCUUGUUUCGUUUCGAGAUGCAUGUAAUACGAAGACAAAUCAGUGGUAUAUAACGGAGAUAGGUAUGUUUUAUUCUUUAUAACGUAUCGCAGGAGAUAUCGGCUUGUGACACGUUACAUCCAUGCAUCACACUUUACCCAUUCUGCCCCUCCAACGGAUACAUCCACGGAGGAGACGAAGUGAGCGAGGUGAUGCAGAGAGGGAUCGGACGAUAGAGAAAGGAGAGGAGAGAGAAGAAGAGUGUGGGUUCCUUUCGGGAGAGAGAGAAACAGGCGGAGGAGGAGGAGCGAUAGAAGCAGAUGGCGGCUCACGUUAGCGUGUGCCGCGGCCUGGUGGUGGUGCUGGCGCUUGUUGCCUGGUUAUCGUGCGCCGCCGCGGAGGGAGGGGGCGGCGACAGGGCGGUGAGGCAGCGCCUGGAGGUGCGACGGCACCUGAAGCGGCUCAACAAGAAGCCGGUCAAGAGUAUCAGGGUCUCUUUCUCGAUUUAACGCCACAUAAUGCUUCCUUCUCGCUGGAUUUUGCUUUCUGGUGUUCGGUGUGGUGACAAAUGAAACAUCAUUUUCUUUCGUCCUUUCAGUAAAAGAUUGCUUCUUCUCCACGGAAACCUUGUCGAUAGAAGUAUUCGGCUUGUUUCCGCAUAAUGCUGCGGUUGUUCCUAUUCUUUUUGUUUUGCCGAUUUCAGGAUUGCUGUAUUAUUGUGUCGAUCUCUCAUCUUCGUUGUAGCAUGAUGAUGAACUGGGCCAAAAUGUUUCAAUUUCGUUCUUCAAUAGCUAAAAGAGGAUUCUUUUUCUUCUAUUGCUUUAAGAAAUUCAAGAUUUUGUGUAGAUGUUACAUGAUGCAGCUUUCUUCGCCUCAUCAGAAGGACAUGCCAUCAAGUUUUUACCUUGCAUAAAAUAAAGUUCUCUUUCCAUCAAAAGUUUAGAUUUUUACCUCCUUUUUUCCAUCUAAAGAUUCUUUGGAAUCGUUUAUUCUACUUCAAUCAUUCAAUUUCUUCCUCUUUUGAUGUUUGGGGGGAAAAUCACAUAAAUAUGCAGAGUCCAGAUGGAGAUAUCAUCGAUUGUGUGCAUGUCUCUCACCAGCCUGCCUUUGAUCACCCUUUCCUCAAAAACCACUCAAUCCAGGUUCAUCUCUUUCUUCCUCCUCACUUUGUUCACUUCUUUUCAGAUUCUCCACUUUUCUUGCUGUAUUUUAUCAAGCCCUUUUUGCUGAUGUUUCCAGAUGCGGCCAACCUACCACCCGGAAGGCUUGUUUGAUGAGAACAAGCUUGCAUCACAGGAGAAGAAGACCCCCUCCACAGCUCAACUAUGGCAUCAGAACGGGAGGUGCCCUGAGGACACCAUCCCCAUCAGGAGGACAACCAGGGAUGAUGUGUUAAGGGCCAGCUCCGUCAAAAGAUAUGGGAGGAAGAAGCACAGGAGCAUCCCAUGCCCCUUGUCUGUUGACCCUGACCUUCUCAAUGAGAGUGGCCAUCAGGUAUGGUGCAGAAAAGCAACAAAGAAACCAUACUUUGGAGCAAAAGUUGCAUCUUUUCUAGACUUGCUUUUGGUUCCUGGCUCAUGGCUUUUGUUUCUUUUGGGUGUUUCUUGAGUAGCAUGCGAUUGCUUAUGUAGAGGGAGAUAGAUAUUAUGGAGCAAAGGCCACCAUAAAUGUGUGGCGGCCAAAGAUCCAACAACCCAAUGAGUUCAGUCUCUCUCAGCUCUGGAUAUUGGGGGGCUCCUUUGGUGAGGAUCUCAAUAGCAUCGAAGCAGGUUGGCAGGUAUAUUUCUGAUCUGCUCCAGACAAACCUGCAAUCUCUUUCUUCUCUGCUUUGGUACAUUGAAAGAGCUUGUGCAUGCAUUAAGUCUUGCUUGCAUGUAAUAAUCAGGUCAGCCCGGAUCUCUAUGGUGACAACAACACCAGGCUGUUUACUUAUUGGACCGUAAGCUAUACAUUCUACCGCUUUAUCAUCAUUUCUUUUCAUUAAUCCUGUCGUUCUUCCUUUUUCUUCUGUUGUUAUAAUUACAACUUUUGCUUAGAACUAUUCUAUCGCUGUGUCUACCAUGUUAGAGAUUCAAAACGAUUCAGAUGGUGUCAUUUCAUAGAUGACAUAUGCACAAUGGCUUUGUGAAUUGUGUGUUCUUUAUAGUAUCCAUACGAUGAAAUUUCAGAGUGAUGCAUACCAAGCAACUGGCUGCUACAACCUAUUGUGCUCGGGGUUCAUUCAAGUCAACAAUGAAGUUGCAAUGGGUGCCAGCAUCUCUCCGAUCUCCGACUACGAUGGUUCGCAGUAUGAUGUAUCCAUACUUGUUUGGAAGGUGCAACCAAGCCUCAAUCUGCAUUUGACAAUUCUUAUUCACUCCAUUUUCUGCGGUAAUUGGUAUGGUUCGAUUCGACGGAGCAGGAUCCGAAGGAGGGGAACUGGUGGAUGCAGUUCGGGAACGAUUACGUCUUGGGUUACUGGCCUUCUUUCCUCUUCUCUUAUUUGUCAGACAGUGCGAGCAUGAUAGAAUGGGGAGGGGAGGUGGUGAACUCGGACGCAGACGGCGAGCACACCUCGACCGAGAUGGGCAGUGGCCGUUUCCCGGAAGAAGGAUUCAGCAAGGCAAGCUACUUCAGGAACAUUCAGGUGGUGGACGGGUCCAACAAUCUAAGGGCACCCACAGGGGUUGGAGCCUUCACAGAGCAGUCAAACUGCUAUGAUGUGCAGAAUGGAAACAAUGGUGAAUGGGGGCAGUACUUCUACUAUGGAGGGCCUGGUAGAAACUCCAAUUGUCCAUAGAAACAAACCCUAAUCGAAUUCCCCCCCUUCCUUCCCCCUUGUACCAUUCUUCAGUCUGAUCCCAUCCUUAACUCAGAGGUUGUUUUGCCUGUUGUAACUCAUCCUCUCCCAUCCUUAACAAAGCUGGGGAGAGAGAGAGAGGCUGUGUCUGUGUUUCUCUGUCAUUUGCUCCAUCUUGGAGUCGUUUGUUCGGCUUAAGGCUAAAUGAUUAUAACCAGUGGAUCUCGACAUGGCUGAUGGCACUGCAACUUCUUUAGGUAGACCUAUUUGUUCUUACCCACUGCACGUUAUAGAUUCCCUGAGUUGGUCGGCAGCUUUUCCGAACAAGCUGAUGGGCGAUGAGCAGAGUGAUUACGAAGGAUCGGACGAGGCAUGACACAUGUGACAACACAGUAGGCUGUGGGUCUCUUUCAAGCUUGUGAUCACUUUUGAUAUUGUUGUCAGACGAUUUACUUUUUGAGUUGCCAGCUUCUUCUGUGUUCAUGUGAGGUGGUGCCGGUGGUGGUGGUGGUGGUGGAGCUGUCCCUGCUGUGUGACAAAAUGUCUCUUCUACCACUAUUUCUUUUACGGGGGGUGGUGGGAUUUUGGAGGCAUAUAUCCUACUGAUAGCUAUGCGAGAAUGCAAUGCUUCUUCAAUGAUCCAUAGGAUGUGGGAGAAAGUUGGUGGAGGAUCAAAUCAUGAGGUAUUGUUAUAAGGGGGUGUAAGAGAACACCAAAUGAGAAAUCUGAAAAUAAUAUAUAUAUAUAUAUAUAUAUUCUCAAAAUUCAUCCUAUCAUUUUCUUCUGUUUUUCUUUUCCCUUUAAGCUUGAAAAAUCAAUUAAUUUUAGUUAAUUGUAAAUAUUGCAUCAUUUGAUCUGCCUCUCUUACAACUCUUAUUUGUUCUGUCUUGCCCAGACGAUCACCAACUCACUAGGAAUACCACACCUUAUCCCAGUUUACUACUCCCAUAUUUAUGAGUGGCUGAUGAUUACAAUGAAUUUAUUUAUUUUUUUUAUUUUAUAAAACCAAGAUAAAAAAAUAAUAUUUGACGUUAAUCGAAGUCUUAGCUAACAUUUUUGAACUUUUAAUUUUUAAUAAAUAAGUUUGGUAAUAUUUAAAGUCUAAAAAUAUUAUAUCGGAUGAUAUUUCGAGUCGAUAUGAAAUAUGUCAGAAUGAGAUUUUGAACCCUUAAUCUUUGAUGAGUGGGUUUGAUAUAUUAUCAUAGAUCAAUAUUUAGGUGAUAAAAAAAAUUAAAUUUAAACAUCUUAAAUCAGUAAUUAAGUUAAUUAUUAUAUCUGAGUGGAGGACCAGAUCAUGAUUCGAGGUGUGCAUGCCCACUGAGAUGGGCUCCUCCUGUCUCUCUCUCUCUGAUACCGGAGGAGAAGACCGUGAAGUGGCAUGAAUAGUUAAAAGUUCUUAAUCAUUUCUCAAUUUGUUUUGGACAAAUUCCCACUCUUUUUGCAUCACACAAAAUAUCCUAAAAAAUACAAUUUUGUUUUCUUUCCUCCAAUUGAUUUGGUUUAAUCCAUUAGACCACUUGAAGAUAAUAAUAAUAUGCUAUUUUUAGGGUAUUUUAGUCGUUUGUAAAAAAUCCAUGGAAAAUUAUUUGAUGCAUUUUAUGAGAAAAAAUAACAAUAAGGGGCUUUUUAGCAUAUCAAUAUAAAUUGAAAACUAAUAGUCUAUUCUUUCAUCUCGUUGCUUAAGACAUAAGUUUAAAUGAAAAUAAAGAUAAAAUAUGAUUGAAAAGUAUAUCUUAUUAAAUGUCAUGCACCUUACAAUAUAUUUUAAAAUGAUAUAUGAUAAUGUGACAUGUCUCUUUAAAAUAUGCAACCAUACCAUCUUAAAUAAUAAAUAAUUCAUCCUCAUCUUAUCAUCUAUAGGAUUUUCUAUUUAAUUAUUCAUUAAUAAAUAUUUUAUUAAAUUUUCCUAAUAACUUCACAUAUAUCUCAUUACAAUAAUUUUUUACAUCAAUUUUGAUCACCAUUUCCAACCCAUCAGAAUCGGUCAAACGCUUUCUGCAAAUAUAUGCUGAUGCCAAUUCCCUUUCCAUUUCCUCGAGUUAAUCCAUCCUAUUGUGAAGCCCAGCCAAAGCUUUCUGCAAGUUCUGAUGGUUCACCACAGGUAGGUGGAUGACAACAGCAGUCAUCUAUUACACCACACCAAAUAAAGAAGAAGAAGAAGGAGAGAGAGAGAGAGAGAGGACAGCUGCAAUGCGGGCCUUCCGUCCUUCUCCCACACACCCUGUCAUCAACAUGCGCCCAUCAUCUCCUCCUUUCAUUCACAUUCAUUCCUUCAUUUGACAGCUUCUUCCUUUCUAAGUCUGGCCUUCUCUGCACAGCCACGCAAUAACCACAACCCCUUCUCUCCGACUAUAUAACCUCCCCCUCCACCUGAACCCAUUCCCAUCUCUCUCUCCCUCUCUCUAGGAAUCUGUGGAGAUCAUCGUCACAGUUGAUAUUUUCUUCUCUUCAACGACGAUGGAGGCUGCUCUUAAGCUCAGGCUCUUCGCCCUGGCCAUGGUGGUCGUCGUCGUGGCCUCUUCCUUGGUCGAGAAAGCCGCCGCUGCUGACGCACCCGCCCCCACCCCUACCUCCGGCGCCACUACCACCGCCCUCGCCGCACCUGCUGCCGCCCUUGCCUCGUUCUCCGCCCUCCUCUUCGGAUGCUUCCUCUACUAAGCCACAACGUCAUUGUUUCGUCACCUUGUUUCCUUUCCUUUGUUGUGAUUUCUUCAUGUAGUCAUUCUCUUCUGUCAUGGUGUCUAUGAAGAGAGAGGAAGAGAGAGGAAUAUGCAUGCAUCGACGUAUGCAUACGGCGGUGGUGGUGGUGGUGGUAGUGGAUAUGUAAUCUUCUCUUGGUGUUCAUUCAUUUAUGUUAAUGUGAUUCUUUCCCUCUUCUUUUGUCAGAAGUAAAUGAUCUAUGCUACCAUCUAAGCUUCUAAGCUUCUCAAAAAGGUUAUGGCUGCAGAACAAUUGCCGAUCAAACGCCAUUAAUUGCGUUAUGCUUUGUGCUUUGCCAAGAAGAGAGCAAUCAUCAGUUGAAGAAACUGGUGAUCCCUUUGCUCAUCAUGGCUUGUAGUUGAUUCAUUCAAUGCAUGAAGACAACAAUGAGUUGGCAAUGCUGGCUCAACAUGGCCUUGCUGUUCGCAUGGCUUCUCAGGUUCCACAGGGUCCCAUGCCAUCAAUUAUAGCAUGCUUGUUGCUCCUCCUCUAUAAUGAGUGCCCUCAAUCAAUGUUCGAGGUCGAUAGGAAUUAGAACCUUUACCUUUUGUUGGUUUCAUGUGGAACUACAUAAAGAGUUGUAGUGAUGGGGGAAAUAUCACUUGUCAACCAUAUAUACCAUUCAUUUAUUUGCUAAAUGUUCAUUUCUAAAAGCUUAAAAACUUAGUUUAUAAGUUCGUCGGGUCUCUCUAUACUUGAAGAUAAUUAUUGGUGCUCACAUCGCUCAGUACAACCAUCGCUCAUUCUAAUUGGUAGUUGAGACUUUAACUUAUAUAGGCACCCUUUUAAAAUGUAAUAUGGUGUAAAAAAAAUUAGGUUUUGAUAAAUAUUAAAAAUUAAGUUUUCAGUAAUCUUAAGUAUAUACUUAAGCUAUUAAGGAAAGGAUCCAAUUUAUAUUAAUUUUUUUACACCCUCAGUUGUCUACAAGCUGGAUUUUUUUAAUAAAAAAUAGAAAAAAAUAAUUAUGUUAAAUAAUAUACAUGGCAUUGAUAUUAUUUAUGCAAUAAUACACUAAUAAAUUCGGAUGUCUCAACAGAGACCACAAGUUGGAUUAGACUUGGCAAAUAAAAUUGAAUAAAAAUAAAUGAUGUGUAAAAUAAAAAUAAACGUAUACAUAUAUUGAUGUCAUGAUCUGCCUAUGGUAUCAUGAUAAAUAUUUUAAUUUAGUCACCAUUAAUCCUUAAAUUAUUAGGAAAUGACUCAUGAAUAUAAUCAAAUGAGUAGGUAUUUCAAGUAUAUGCCUUUAGAAUUUAAAAUGAUGAUGUAUACCACCAAGUAUUUAUUUUAAAGAGAUAUGCAUGUAUUUGAAAAGGAGUGAAAUAUUAAUAUGAUUUUGAAACUUCUGGAUUUCAGAUAUGAAAGAACACAACAUAUAUUGUUCAUAGAGUAGGGUUCAUUGCAUGUACAACCAAAAACUUGAUCUAAGUUUUAGUAAAAAUUGAUAUUUCAUGUAGGUGGGUAUGUAUAAAACCUCUCUCUCUCUCUCUCUCUCUCUCUCUCUCUCUCUCUCUCUCUCAUACACACAUACAUUCUAUAGACAUGAUGGAAUACAAGGAUCACUGAGCAUGAAUCUUUGAUGCAGAUCGAAUGCAUAUAAACAAGGGAUUCAGUGUCACUGGCAAGUUGACAAGGACAUGGAAGCUACUCUUCUAGCUAUAUGAAAAUGACAAUACUGCAAUUAUCAGCCUUCCUCUCUCAUGGUCAGUAUCAAUACACAUCUCUCAUAACUGGCUCAGCAAAGAUAUCUUUCCCCCUUAUUUUUCUUGAUUCUUUUUCUUGGUUGUUUGCAUGGCAUUUAGUCUUCCAUGCCUGACCAGAGUGGAUCUGUGGUCGACCUUUUCCUGACAAUUUGGACCUUCAAAUCACCUCCUUGUCAACAUCACUACCUCCGAUUUGCUCAAACAAUUACAGAAUAGGGUAAUAAAUUAGUGAUGAUUGAGUUGUUCUCUGUAUCAUCAAACAUUUCUCUGUUUCAGUUCCUUUGUGCAGAAUAAGCGAAGCAGAGAGUGUGUGUUGACAGUGUGAGAGAGGGAAACAUGAAACCAAGCUUUAGGCAACCACAGAAAGAAGCUGAAACGAGCACUGUAUUCGGCUGUAAUUUGAAGAGCAAGUAGAAUUAUUGCCAUGCAAGGCAGCUUUACAACGUGAUCUUAUGGCAUGCAUUUCCACAAACACAUGUAAUCUAUAGCAUUUAUUGUCGAGAAGAGUGAUCGAUCAAGCACUUGCAAUGUAUCCUCCAAAUGAGAUGUGUGCCCUCGUCAUGGGAGCUCCCCUCGCGGCUGACAGUGCCUGGUUUAGCCUUGCUGCCUGUUGCACAACCUCCUUCAUUCUCUGCAAUCACAUCACACAAGAGGAACUUAGGAUGGGAUUAGAUUAUCUUAAUUGAUCGAUGAGCAGUACCUUAUCGUGGGUGUAGAUCUUGAACUGGAUCUUAGGUUUCUGAUGCUGUCGGCAGCCAAGGAUGAAGAUGCAGAUAGUAGCAGCAGCAGCUGCUGCUGCUGAUGCUCCCAUGGCGCAGAAGGCUCCAAUACCUGUCGAUCUCCAAUUCCCCGGAGGAGGAAACCCGAAGCCUUUGAUCUCGGAUCCUGCAUGAUCUUUCUCUUCUCCCUCUUCCCUGACUUGCGAUUCCACGUCUGGUGUGACGACGCCGAUGUCUUUGAAUCCUUUGGCUUCAGCAUCAUCAUCUGAGUUAUUCUCCAUGGUUGGCUCUGAGUUCUGCUGCUGCUCCAAGAAAGAUUGUGAUGGGCAGAUGAAGUAAUUGGCAUCAAGUGUGAGCUCCUUGAGCACCAAAUCAUUUUGACUGCCAUGGCUGAAGUCCAGCAAGCUCUUGUCAUCAGGGAGGAACUCCCAGUCAUCGAGAUCCCUCUCCAGGCAAGAUUUCUCCAUGUGAUCAGAAUUAGGGACGACUGUGUGUGUGUGUAUGAGAGAGAGAGAGAAGAGAGAAGAGAGAGAGAGAGAGGACUUAUCCUUCCACCUGCCAAGACUUUUCCUAUAAAUCUAAUUCCCAACUUUUGUUUGACGACUUGCAGAGGAGGAAUGAGUUCUAAUUCCUCGAACAGUUCUUGUGCAUGAUUGGGCUGUCUGCCAGUCUCUGUCUUGGUCUCUCUCGCUCUCUCUGCUUCACACAUUAAUUCCAAUAUGCACAGUUAAGGUUUGGGUUCGUUCGAGCGUCACGAGUUGGUUGCGGCAAGGCGAUUCGAAAUGGGUGCGCCACAUGAACCGGGCGACUCGGGCGUGCGGCUCAAUUAAAUCAGGGAUUGGGUUCCGUUGAGCUCGAAGUAGUUGAUUGGGCUGAACCAUUUCAGCCAACUAAAUCCUUCCCCAUGACGCGAACCGGAAAGGACGAACCAUUGCUGCCCCUCACCCGCACGAACUGUCGCUGCCCGAGCCGCUCUCCUCCCUGUCGAGCAGCUGCUCACCCCUCCGGCGGUACCUCUCUCUCUCUCUCUCCCUACUUCCCUUCACUCUUCUCCCUUUUCCACCAGCAGCCGCCGCCCUCUCUGCCUCAGGCAGCCCUUUGGCGCCUCCGUUCUCUCUUCCCCAGCCGCCGCCAUUGUUGAUGCACCGAUGCCUUUUUUUGCUGAUGUGAUGCCAUUGGGUGCAAAUGUCACGUUUAUAUGAAAAUUAGGAAGAUUUCGACACACUUCAAAAUAAAACAUGAUGAAAAUUCUAAGUUUUUUUAAUCCAAAUAUUUUAGUAGCCUUAUAAUAUUUGUGACAAUUUACUGUGAGGGAACGAAAAUAAAAAAAAAGAUAAUAUGUUAUUUUAUUGUAAUAGUUGGAAAUUCGGCUUAGCUCAGAUUAGAUUUCAAUGGAAAACCUAUUUUCUUAAAAGGAUUUAUAUUUUUAUGUCAAAGAAAGAAACCCUCUUUGGGGAAUAUAGGAAUGUAAGCCCUAAUUUAUAUAUUAUAUUUGCCAAAUAUGAAGCUUUUCCCAUGAAAUUUUAAUCUUGCGUCGGAAAUGAUAUUGUAUUUGUCAAUGCAUGAUGGAGUGGGGACAGAACUGGAAUUUACGUAUAGGCUCCACUCUGCCUCGAUGGGCCGGGCUUGAAAUAAAAGCCCAUUAAGACAAUGCUACGAUUGGCCCAUUACAUGCUCCUCUAGGGUUUCGCUUCCCUCCCCUGCGGUCGGUUUCGCUUCUGGAUAUCUUAGCACGGGCGACAGCGCAGAGAGGGGUGUUUGGUUCCUUUUCCUCGAGCUCGUCUCGGUAGGUUGUCAUCCUUCCCGAUCACAUUACUCUUCUUGGCUUCUCUUUGAUUGGUUGCUGCGAUGUUUUUGAGUUUUGGCGAUAUGCAAUUGUUCUUUCUUUCGCGUUUCUUGGUCUUUCAUCGUCUUCAUCAGAUCAAUUUGUACAGCAGAUAAUACUUGCGUUCCCGUCAUUCUUUAAAGGUUUAGUUGUUUGCUUGCAACUUAGAAGUAGGUCAUCUAAUGCCAUGCAGUACUAAUGUGGAAGUUGCCUUUGUGCGUGCGUGAGAGAGAGAGAGAGCAGUCCGCGUUGUAGGACACGAAGGCCACAAGAACAUGUCAAUAUAAAACCCAUUUGUCUGCUAAAGUCCACAGCCUAAAAGAGGGGAAUCAGCCACCAUAGCAGUUGGAAAAAUGUACUGCUUUCAUUAGAUGGGGGUUGAACCUUAGACCUCCAGUGAUGGAUGAGAGAUGCUAUACCAUUCAAGGAUAAGAGAUACUGGAGAGGUUACUACUGUUGUUAGGAUUGUCAUUUAUUUUUAAUACAUAAUGAAAAGAAAAUUUUGUGAAACCGAAUGGCUCAAGUUUGAGCCCAACAAUCUAUUCUAUGUUUUCUUCACAAUAAUGCAUUUGUUUUGCUCGUAGUGGCAGCCAUAGUAAAGAUUGAAGAAUCAAGUUUGAGAUCAACAAUGCAUUUCCUGCAAGAUAACGGAAUUGUAUACCCAUCAAAAUUUUGUUGUAGAAUCUUUUACAAGUUCCUCCAAGGAAAAUUCUAACUUGGCUUUGUUCUAAAAUGCAUGUUUUUUUGUAUAACUCAGUUUAAUUGUGUCUAUGAUGGUUCACUUAACUUAAGAUUUUCUUGCUACAUAUAUGGUUCCUUAUGUUAUUUGCAUGAUGCAAAAAAAUUGUAAGAAAUAUUGAAAAAGAAUUGUUGAUGCGCUGAUGCAUUUUUUUGCUGAUGCGAUGUUAUUGGGUGCAAAUGUGGUUACCUGUGUCAUUUUUUGUUCAAUAUGUCAUGUUUAUAGAUCAGUCUUGUGAUAUGCAGGAAUAAAUUGACUCCUGAGUUGCAUACAAGAUGAGAUUAGAAAAGUGUUGGUUCUGUUCCUCAACCAUUUAUCCAGGCCAUGGAAUUCAGUUUGUUCGAAAUGAUGCAAAGGUAAGGCCAUGUUUUCCGAAUUAAUUCAUCUGGAAGACUGGUUUCCAGGCUUCUUCAAAAGAAAGGUGUUAUAAUAUAAAAUUGGGAGACUUGUACCAUUUGAAAAUAUGAUUGUUACUCAUAGUACUACAAACUUGGUUGUUUGUGUGACUCUUGUGCUUUAAGCUCCUUCACUAUUAUCUGACAGACUUGUACUAAUCCUUUAUAUGUCAUAAAUCUUAACCCUAUUAUGAUAUUAUUUUAAUUGCAUGUUAUUUCAGUUUGCUCUCUUCGUUCAUCUAUAUCUAAAUUGGUUAUAUCCAUCUUUCAUUAUGCAGAUGUUGUUUUGAUCUACAAAUCAUGCUUUCAUGAUGAAAUCAAAAUGGCCCUAAAUGGUCCUAGUUCAUUACUUGGAUUAUGAUUUCAUAUGAUUGUAACAGAUAAGUCUUUAUUGUUGGUGAGAGAAUGCCAUAGAUUUCAAGAUUGAACUUGAUUAUUUUCUUUUAUGUACACACACACACACACACACACACACGUGUUCUCAUUCUUUUGUUCAUUAAAUUUUGAUCUCUUGUUUCCUUUUGUUUUUUAUAUUUUCUGAAUUGCUUGAGCUUUAGAAAGGACAAGGAGAAAGGAACCCAAUGAUCCACAAUUUGAUUCAUGAUCUGAUAUAAUCUUUGUUAGGUGUAAUGCAUUCAUAUUUUUCUGUUCAUCAAGUGUUUGGCUCUUAUUUACUAUUAUUUUCAUGUUUUCUCAAUUGUUUGAGCUUUAGAAAGCACAAGAAGAAAAGAAUCUAUCUCUCAUGAACCCUCUUAGUGAUUCUUAUCUGAAGUAAAGUAGUCUUUUUCUUAGUUUUUAUGAUUUUUUUAGAAUUCUAAAUUAUUUUCAUGGAUUCCACUGAUCUGAUUCAUUAAUCAGACUGAUACUGAUCGUUCUGCCAUCGUAAGAUCUCAAUCCCUAUUUUGAGCGAUGGGCUUCUUACAGAAUUCUAGCAUGCAUUAUGGUCUUUUUAGCUUACCAGCAGUCAACAAGAUGCCAUGGAAACAGGUGUAGUCCAGUGCUUAUUGGAUGAACAUGCCUCAUUCAGUUUUAUGAAAAUAGAUGCUAUACAAAGAAUUUACUUUAAAACCCAGUCAAAUGAAGGCAUUAUGUUCAGUUUCAUCAAAAUAGAUGCUGUACCAUAUGUCAAGAUGAGAUUGGGGUUGAUUUUGAUCAGAUCUGUGUUAAAGAAAAACUGAUCUUGAUGUCCCAACAGAUUGACAUAAGUCAAUCCGUAAGUGCACGAGUUCCAAUAUGAAAACCUGAUUCAUUUGGUUUGAUUUGGUUAGUCUUUCAUGUUUUCCAAUGUUUGGACUCAUGACAGUAGUACAGUGGUGAAAAAAAACCCCAUUGGAGAAGAAUGAAAUAGAACAUGAAACUGUGGGCUCCUGUGUAGUGGGAGGAGAUUUUAUGAUGAGAUAAUAUCUAAACAUUCUAUGUUUUAGAUGAUCAGAUUGCGUCAUAAGUAUAACGGAUGGUUGUUGACUGGCAUCUGAUCCAAUUAUGAAUUAGACAAUCAGAAUAGUUUAAUUGGAUUGUACUGAUAAACAAUCAGAUUAAGAUUUGUUCCAAUAAACAGUUCAAAUUUGUUGAGAUAGCAUCAUAUCUGAUCCAUUGAAAGACAUCUUUGGGGAACUAUAUGAAGUAAAAGCUACAUAGGAACUUAGAGCCAACAUUCUUCAUUUUGUAUGCCAAGUUGUGCAGAAUAGCUUAAGCCUAUGGCUCCGCUGCUUCUGAUGAUUUAUAUUAUCAAGGUUCAGUUAUGUAUACAUACAGUUUGUAUGUCAGCCAUGGUUUGUGAAGUCUAAUGCGCAUGAAAACAUUAUUAGCCUAUAAUGUUGUUUGCUAGUUCCUAUUGUCAUCGAUGAAAGUUCUUUUGCAGAUAUUCCGAUUCUGCCGAUCAAAAUGCCAUAAGAAUUUCAAAAUGAAGAGAAAUCCUCGCAAGGUGAAAUGGACAAAGGCGUAUAGGCGAUUACAUGGGAAGGAUAUGACUCAGGUUAGAAAUGCUAGUGUGAUACUUUUUUCUGUGUUUCUUUGUUUAAGUUGCUGAAAUUGCAUGACACGAUGACUAUCUAAUGACUGCUAUCCCUGUUAAGGACUCGACAUUUGAGUUUGAAAGGAAGCGUAACAGGCCUGAAAGAUAUGAUAGGAAUGUCACAGAGAUGACGCUGAAGGCUAUAAAGAAGAUUGACAAGAUCAGAGUGACCAGGGAGGCUCAACACCACAAAAUGAGGUUGGUUUCCGUUACGAGUGGUAUCCCAUUUUCUUCAAUUUGCAAUUUAUAUUCUGAUAUGCCAUACUCAUAUAUCUCACAGGAUGAAGGGUAAUAAAGCAAUCGAGCAAGAGGCGGCAAUUAAGGAGUUGGAGAACAGUAUUAAUUUGGUCAAAGCACCUGCUGCCCUGCAGCAGGGAUCAGAAAUUACUCUUCCAAAGAUCAAAGUCAAGGUUUCUCAAUCACAAGAUGUGGGAGAGCGAAUGGAAGAAUAAUGGUAAUCUGGACAUUCAUCCAUCCUCCAAUUUAAAAGUGCCAUAUUAAGUUUUUGUUUUCUUUUGUGUGUUUGCACAGUUUAUGAGUGGGUGGUUCCUUGGAACAUUCUUCUACUGAAAGAUGGAUGGAUGCUUUGCCAUGGAUGUAGCUGAAAUAGUAGUUGGGAGAACAACAUUUUGUGCUUAAUUGUCUUGGUUGGUAAUGGAUGGUUUUUUUUUUUUUGUUUUAGUGGACACGUUAUUUGAUCACAUUAACAGAAAGCUUCUGAUGCAGCUCAAAAAGAACAUGGAAUGGUUGCAAUCUUCGCAUUUCGUGAUUGAUUGAUAUUACUAGUGUUGUUGUCAUCGAGCGUUUCCCGCCCCGACGAGGUGAGUCGAGUGCCUCAGAAUUGGUCCGAGAGGGCAAAUUGAAGCAGGUGUGGUUUGGAGGAUUGAUUGAUUGGGCUCACCCCAUGCGUGCGAGCCCUAUCGACACCACCACCUUGUGUCGCGCGAUUCGACAUGUGGUGGCCCUUAGGCACGUUGUUGCAUAUACCUUUUGCAACCGAGAAGAAACCUAACCUAAACUGUGAUCAAUUCAUCUGCAUGGCCCUUAGCCCUUGGGCUCGUGGGGGCCCGUCCGACGUUACCUUCUCCCCUCUCAUGAGGGGCAGAACCCUCCCUCCUCAUCCUCUUUUUUUACUCCAUCCUAUUUUUUUUUUAAUAUAAUAAUAAUAAUAAUAAUAUUUCUAUUUAAUUAUAAUUUUUAUAUAAUUUUAAUAUUUAUGAAUAUUUUGCUUGUACUCAAAGCGACAACUUAGCGCCUCCAGCCUAUCCCUACCCUCUUUCUCCUCCAUCGUUGUCCUCUAUCAAGCCUGCCUCCCAACAGUCUCACCCUCCCCCCUCUCUACUCGGUGCUUCUUCCGUCGACCAAUUUGUGUGUUGAACGGAUCUAUUUGAAAAAGUAUAUAUAUAUAUAUAUANNNNNNNNNNNNNNNNNNNNAUAUAUAUAUGCUCGAGCGAGAGCACCUAACGCCUAUGCCUAUAACGAUCAUAAGCACAUGUAACUGACAGCAUGUAUCGCUGCUUUAUUAUCAUCUGCUAAAAAGGUCUUGCAAUCUUAUUUCUUGAAUUCAUCUGCAUUGCACAUGAAACCUUGUAAGCUCAAUUCUCAAAAGGUGAGUAUCGUGAUCUUGCUCCUGCAUAAUUGGAUCCGUGGGAUGUCAGUGUGUUUCACUUCACCACAGCGUCGUAAUCAAAUUGAUAUCAUUCAAGCUAAGUCGGAUAAUUAACUCAGGUGUCAUAUUCUCUACCACCUACCCCCCACCCAGCACUCCUGGGAAUCUAUCUGAUGAACGAGAGAGAACUGUUAAUCGAACACUGUGUAAGAAGACUUUAGAAGCUUCCUAUGGUAGGAUAGGAGGAAGAAAGAAGCUUUACGGGAAGGGAUAACAAUAAUGUGGACUUCUUUUUGUGUUUUUAUUCGAACCAUAAACAACUUUAGGGACUUAAUAUCUAAUGCCACACUUUUAUUGUUCCUGUGGCAAUCACAAGAACUCGAAACGGCCCAAAGUUGCAGUCACAAACAAUUUAGUGAAGUCUAGUACAGGACAAAUCUUUUGCGGCAUCUAUUGCCAGUUAUCAAUCAGGAGACCCUGUCGUUUGACACAGCUAAGAAUCCACCAGUCGAAAGUUUUGAGUCAGGAACUCGUCUAUCAUUUAACUCAACAAUAAAAGUUUUUGUGGCAUGAAAUGGAAGUAGUGCAGAGUGACUAAAAAUGAUAUCAGUGGUGUGUCAUCUACAGAAGAUUAGUGAUACCAGGGAUAGCAUAUUACCACAAUAAGACUGUCUUUUGACACAAAGCUAAGAAUCUACAAGUAAAAAGUAAGGCCAAUGUUCUUCAUGAAUCAAAUUCCAACAAAGUUUUACCAGUCAGGAAGAACUCAUUAAUGUCUAUAACAUUUGUCCCACAACAACAAAAGUAUUUGUGGCUUGAAAUAGCAGUGUAGUGCAGAGUGGCGAAUACUAGUUGUAUGUCAACUACAGAAGAUCACUGAUGCUAGGAUAGCAUAUUACCAUACCAGUUAUGUACUCAAUGCCCCUUCAGGUUUCGUUUAAUGGAACCUCUGGUUUUGGAAGAGUCCGAGCGUGGCUGAGACCUCAUCCUUCCUGAGUCAUGUGGUCGCUCAGUUGAUGGAAGCACCCAUCCUCUUGUGUGCUUUUGACUGCUGUUGUUACCACUCCCUACACGACCACACAUGGAUAUAGAGUUAAACAUCAUUGGGUUAAUAUGGCAGAGCAAUUAAGCCAUGCAAAAACAAACUAAAAGAUUAUUAGGCUUUUCUGUUAAAAAAGAAACAGUCACAAAGAAAGGAGUCAAUUUCAAAGGGUCAGUAUGACUGAUGCAUUAAUCAAGGUUGACAAAAGCAAAAU